UCUAUUUCCAACUCUGCACGUAUCAUCAUGAACUCCCAUGUAUCCUACUGGAUCCAUUGUGGCUGAGACGACCACCUCUCCUCCCUCGAGAAUGUCGGAGACAUCUCGUCGGGCAUCACUAACGAGUUAUUUCUAAAAUGCGCUGAGAGGGUGGAUCACACAGAGGAGACAAGUGGGACAAAUUAGAUAGUUUGACUAUUUUUUUGAUGAAUUUUGUGGCCUUUUGGAUUUGGCUGUUGUAUUUUGAAGUUUAAUGGUUUUCGUAUUUAUUUAUUUUAGAUUUGGACAUGUUUAUUGCAAAGAUUGAAGGUCGAAAAUUGAUUGUGUGAGAGAGCAGUGACUACCAAAGGUGUUGUUGCGGCGAGAUCGUUGGUGGAGGCACAAUAGAGAAGGGGGAUGUAUGGUAUGGUCAUUGCCGGAGGUGGUGGACGCAUCUUCGGUGAUAAAGGCGUCACCGAAAAAGGUGGAGGCAUAGCAAGCGAUGCAAAGAGGGGAAGAAGAAGAACAUGAAUGGUGUAGAGAGUGUACGUUAACAUUAUGCGCAUUACAUUAAUCCAAAGGUGAUAAACAAUGGUGCAUAAUGAACCAUUUAUGAUGGUGGUCCACUUUAGAUUUUGACGGUCAUUACUUGCAUGGAUCACCUUAUAAGUGCUCCAUUAUAGACCAUUAUUACUCGUUUUUAGAUUAAUCAAGACGCAUAGUUUUAAUAUACAUCCUCCCUCACUUAAAAUUGUUAUUGCAAACUUGGAGCAUGUGUUGCACCUGAGGGUGAUACCCAAGGGCACACAGACAAUUAUGAUAUCCUGCAACUGACAUUGAAGGUUUAACAACAAGGUGUGACAUCUAGUUGCAUCUCUCAGGAGCUGAGACAGAGAAAGAGGACCAUUAGUCGUGGAGGCAGAUGAUUUUAUAUAUAUAUAUAUAUAUAUAUAUAUAUAUAUAUAUAUAUAUAUAUAUAUAUAUAUAUAUAUAUAUAUGAUUUUAAUUUUACGUACUUGGUAUUUUUUUUUUGUCGUAUGUAGGGACUUAUUAUUAUUCCAUGUUGUAUGCAUGAAAUAUUUGACAUUUAUCUUGAGCCUGUUCUUAAGUGAAUAAAAUAACACAAGAAAUAAGGUAUAAUUGUUCAUGUGUCAGACAAGCUUUGCCUUGUGCGCCAGAAAAAGAAACGGUCCAGAUUGCAUUGAAUAAAUAAGCAGUUUAGAUUGCACCAAUUUAAAUGAGGGUACUAUUCAUGCAUCACUUCAUCAUUACAAAUUUUGUCUUGUGUGUUAGAAAAAGAAACAGUCCAUAUUUGCACCAACUAAUCAACACUGCAGCUCACACCAAUCCUUAUACGAGCACUGUUCACAUGUUAGAAUACAAUUCUGUUGUGAUUAUUAUACAAAGGAAUCGCAUUUUCGUGAAAAGGGUAUUUUUAGAACAGGAAAAGUUCCAAAAAGUUGUUGGGUGAGAAUAGCAGAAAGGGAGUUGAGAAUAGUGGCUCCCUGAAGGAUACCAAGAUAAGAAAACAAAAGGCAACCCACCCGAGUCUGAAAGCAUAUAUACACUUUCAGAACAAGCAGGGGCUGGGGGAAGGGGGAAGAAGAAAACCCAGAAUCAAAUCAAAAGGUAAAAAAGUAGAAGUAUACGCAGAAGAGGUGGUUCAAGUUCAAUGGCUGAGAAGAAGGAAAUGAUUCCCAAACAAUAUGACAUCGAUGCCAAAUGGGACGCCUGCAUUGAUCUCACCGUCCGUCGCUUCGUCUACUCCGCAUCUGCCGGUGCAUUUGGCGGUCUCCUAUUUUUUAGUCAGUACUUUCUUUCUCUAGUAUUUUUUGUUACUCUUUGUUUUAGUUUUGGCUUUUUCGUCUUAAAUAAAUGUAAAAAAGAGUAUGUGGUGCUUCUGUGCUGAAGAAAAUCCUACAUCCUUUUCUUGUUUCCUACAUAUGAAUUCGCAACAGAUAUUUUUAUUAGAUACUCGGUCUUGCCUAUUAUGUUAAUCCUAGAUGAGAAUGAGUCUCCCAAAUUCCUCGCUAUUGUAUUUGAUUCCAUUCUCACAUUAUUCAGUAAUCAAUUUCUCAUUAUUUUGAAAACCAGAAAACAGAAUAAAGAGAUGUUUUCUCAUCAUCUUCUUCUGUUUUCUUCAUGUUCUCCGUCCAAAUGCUCAAGGAACAAACUUUUAGGGAACAUAAUAUGCUCAGGCUCGACUUGUAAACUCAUAAUAGUUUGCCUAAUACAAAAAUAAAUAUUUAAAACGCCUAUCAUAAUGUCCUAGGGCAAUGACCUCUGGCUUGACCAGAGGAGAUUCUGACGAGAUCAUUGAUGUUUUGGUGUGUUCUGUUUUGGUUUUUAGCCGAGUCUAAUUUUUGUGUGAACAUCAGUAAAUUCUGGGUUGGGCAAUAAAUAGUUUGCUCUUAUUUUUCUUCUUUAUGCUGGCUGCCCUUGGACCAAGUUGCUCCUCUUUUAGGUGAUAGCUUUUGGUUAUGAUGGAUUGUGUGUGUUAUUUCACUUAUUUGUCUUAGGCCUUGGCUUGUGGGACAGUAUUGGAAUAUAUUUAUUAUAUCUUUAGAUUAUCUUCGAAUAUCUUUUGAGUAUGUUGCAAAAUCAGUUAGUCACCUAAUUGAGCUAGCAACUUUAGAGUUGUUUACUGAUUUUUUUGGCUUUGUUUGGUUUGAGAAAUGUUUUCUGUUUUUACUUUGUAUAGGAAAAAGUGAAAAUGGAAAAUAAAAAUAGAAAACAAAAAAAGGUGUUUUUACUAUUUCCUAUACAAACUUUUGAAAACAGGAAACAUUUUUUUUUCAAACCAAAUGACUCCUUAUAUUUCUUGAUUUUGUUUCCUUAUUUUAUUUUAUUUGAUUACUUGGUCUCUUCCUUAGUUGACCUGGGAUUGUGCUAGUGCUACUAGUAUUUAUCUAAUUAUUAGUAUAAAUAGGAGUAUUACGUAAGGGUAAUGUAUACAUUACAUCCUAUCAAGAAAAUAUUCACUAGUAUUAUUGUUUGACAUCUUUCUCUUGUUUCCUUCUUCCCUAACCCUAAACCUAUACUUCUUUUGUUAGAAUUAUACUUCACUUGAUUAGUUGCAAACUUUGAGGUGCAAACCACUCAGUAUCAAUGUUUUGUUUACAUAGUCUAUCAUACUCUAUCAACUAGCAUAUUAAUGGAGCUUCUACAAAAUAGCAUUUUUUUGGCUUAAAUGUUUUCAAGGUCCCUACAAAUAUAGUGAUAUUUUUGGUCCUUUCAAUGUUCUUUUUCAUGGUUUUUGAUUGUUGUAAUGUCCGUUGCCACUUGUUUUGGUUCCUGCCAUGAACUUGCCAUAGCAACAUGUUUCAUGUGCCUGCAAAUAUAGCAAUUUUGUAUCUACGUUCUUGCAAAAUAUAACAAUUUUUGGUCUCUGUCCCAAAAAAUAUUGUGGUUUUUGUUUUUCGUCCAUGCCAUUACAUCCCUGCAAAAUAUAGUGGUUUCUGUUUUUAUUCUGCUGUGAUGACAAGGACUUAAAAAAAGUUAUGAUGAACAUUGCAAGGAUCAAAAACCAAUUUUUUUUACAGGGGCUAAAAAACAAAAGAUACUAUAUUUGCAUGAAUGAAUAACAUAUUUAAGCCUUUUUCUCUUAAUUUUAGUAUGAUGAUAAUAUUGCUUGAUAACUUUAAUGCUUUACCAUGGUUUUGCACAUGCAGAUUUGGAUGAAAACUGUUUAACUAAAUUUUCUGCAAUCCUGUGCAUUUUUUUUCCUUUUAGUAUAUCUUUUUGCGUGCAUUGAGAAAAUAAAUUUUGAAACUCUUAUUUGUCUUGCUAAAUUGAACUUAUGCUGUUGCAUAGUACUGCCUGUCUGCCUCUAAGCCAGUUAUGGUUGCACUGAAGGCCAAUGUCAGUUUGAAAAAAAGAAUAUAUGGUUAGUGUGCAGCCACUUGAAUUACCCCGUGAAGGCAUUUAAGCCGAGGAUUACUGUUCAAUUUUCUAAGUAUGUGUUCAAUGAUUAUCACCUAUUUUUGCAAAGUUCACUGAGCAUACAUUUAUGAGUCUAUGAGAUAUAAGCCAAUUUGUUGGGUGAGUGUCAUGAUUAGCCUUGUCAUUAAUAGUCUAAUCUUCAUUUGAAAAUUUGGUAUUUAUAAUCAAUUUAAGCUACUGAUUCUGUUUAUAUUAUAAAAUGCAAGGCUUAGUUAUUUAUAUAUGUUGGUGGUUUAGAUUGGUGUUUAUUAUAUCUUUUAUUAUACAAUAAAAUCAUCCUGUAAGUAUUAUAUGCCUUUACGCCCUCCCUACCCCUGAAUAUAAUGGGCUACUUUUGCAUUGCAUUGAAUGACAACUAGGGAGUCCUGUUACUCGAUGGGCAUCUAUUGCUUUUGGCGCUGGAGUUGGAAUUGGAUCUGCAUAUGCAGAAUGUUCUCGUCUGUUUGAUGGACCUCCAACAAAUUUACCCCUACCUAAGGUCUCUGAAACUGCUACUCAGGUAGGAUUUAUCUUUUAUUUUCUUGUUUAUAUACUCCCUCCAUCCCUAAUUAUAAGACAUUUUUAACUAAUUCACACAUAUUAAGAAAGUUGGUUAAUUUAGUAAUUAACAUUAAUUUUUUUAAUUGUAAUAUAUAUAUAUAUAUAUAUAUAUAUAUAUAUAUAUAUAUUCAAAACUAUCCUUAAAUAAUUAAUGUAUGGAGAGAAAAUAAUAGUAGUGGAGUUUUAAUUUUAAAACUGAACUCGUUAAUUCUCCAAUCCUCAUAAGAGAGAGAAAGAGACAAACAUUUAUUAUUGUUGGACUAAAAUAAUUAAGGGUAUUUUGGUCAAAAAAUAAUUGAUGCAAGGGACAAUUAGAAAAGAGUCUUAUAAAAAGGGACAAGGAAAUUUCAAAACAAAGUCUUAUAUUCAGGAACAGAGGGAGUAUAACGCUAGGAUCCAAUUGCAAGGUAUGGGACUUUAGUCCCACAUUGGAAGUAUGGGAUUGUGGCAUUUUUAAGGCUUUGGGCUCUCCAAUGGUUAGCAUAUGCCUAUGGUGUGGUUCUCCUAAGGUUCUUAUCAUAUAAUCAUUUGGCAUGAUUGUCUAAAGCAUAUGUCAUAUGUCAAAAGCUAUUAGUUGGCAGAGUUAGUGUCAAGAUUUAACAUACUGGAAAUGGAACAAAGCUAUAAAUCAUGGACAAUGGCAGUGAUAUAGUGCCAUUUCAUCGAGUCAUACUGCAGCAGGUGAUAGCUAUAGGUUCUCAUUUGCAUCAUAGUAGUCAAUCUAAAAUAAGGGCGUGGAGCAGCCCAAAAAUGCUAUAUUGCAUGACUAUUAUGAUUUGCAUCUUGGUUAAGGUCGCGACUAUCACACUCAAAAUUGUGGCCACUAUAACAGAAAAAUGUAGCUGUCGCAGGCACUGUUGUGAACAAGGGUUGAAAAUCUACAUUUACCCUUGACUUUUUGAGGGAGAUAUAAGAUGGGCUGGAUGAUUAAUGGAGAAGGGAAGGAGGGGAAGGUCGCGGGUUUGAUCCCUCCUACUAACAAAACUAACAUUCUAACAACUAACAUUUGCAAAUAAAAAAAUAAAAAAAAAAACUUGACUUAUGAGUUCUCAUUUUUUGUUGUUGAUAGUCUCACGAUUUCUAGUGAGUCUUUUGCUUUAGAAACAUCAUUGGAUUUGAAACUGUUCCCCAAUCAUUCAGGAAAAAUGCUACUUCUGUUUUGAACUCUGUUAUCUGACCCAAUGACCCACCCCUCUACUAGUCGGCAUCUGUUUCUGGCCCACCCGUGUACCCAGCCAUUGACCCAUUGCUUAUAGGUCUGUGUUCUUCCUUUGGUCUUCGCUCACCCAUCAGAUCUUAGUGUUUGUUUACACGUAACUGCUCACAAAUGUUUGUUCUUUUUAUCUAUGGCAAAUGCUAACCAGUGCACUGGUUAAGGGGAAGUAAAAGGGUGGUUUUUAUUGGUUAGCUGCUAUGUGUUGCUAUCAGGAUUGAUAACUAUGAAUAUGAAAUUGAUAAUGGUAAAAAUGAGAGAAUAAAUUUACGAUGGGAGAAAGUUUGUAGGCAAGGUUGUUGUGAUCAAAGAAACAGGUUGUUUGUGUGUUUUACAUGUGGAAGUGAAGUAGUCUAAAUUGGCUCAUUAGCCUUUAGAACUUGGAUAUUUGAAAUUUAUGACACACUCGUAUAAUAACAUUGUCAUCCCUUUCGAGGGUCAACAUUGAGCUACUAUCUUUAUACCUUGAUAUUGGAUGUGAGACUGAGUAUAUGUAUAUCCAAGAACUAGUGCCUUGAUGCAGUGAUGCUCACUUUUGCAAAUGAUAUGUCCUAGUUGAAGGGUUGAGAGGAAAUACUCGAGCACUUAGAGAUAUGGAGACAGGUUCUGGAAGCACAUGACUCUCGUUUAAGUAGAAAUCAGACAGUGUGUGUGAAAUGUAAGUUUAGUAAGAGGCGAACCAAUUGAAGACAUGCAUCAGCAUUACCACUCAUGCAAUUGAAGUAUCUUGGAUCCAUCAUACAAGAUGACCUAAAUAAAAGGGAAUGUAAAUGGCAUAUUAAAUAAAAUGGAAUAUAAAUCACAUGAUUCAAGCAGGUUGAAUAAAAUGGAAAAUUUCCUUGAGUGUCAUUUGUAACAAAAAAGGUAUCACUCAAGUUUAAGAGCACAUUUUACUCUACAGCUAUAAACUUAUGAUAUUGUACGAAACUAAGUUUUUUUAAGAUAAUAAACUCAACAUGAUAAAGAAAAGAAUGUUGUGUGGGAUAAGUGGGCAUACUAGACAAGAUAGGAGUAGGAAUGAAUACAUUGGAGAGAAUGUUGUGGUAGCACCUAUUGUACAAAUAAUGGUAGAAUCUCACCUUAAGUGUUUUCAGCAUGUAUGAAGACCAGUAGAAACCAAAGUAGUAGAUAUAAUGCCGGAUGUGAAGGGAGAUUAAGAAAAACUAUAAGCCACAUUAUUAAGGAUUGAGGUCAAUCGUUUGUGUAUGAACAUAAUUUAUAAUAAAACACUGUGGCAUCAUUUGAUCUAUAUAGCCAACGCUACCUAAUGGGUAAAAGCAUGGUUGUUUUUUAAUUUUUGUAUGGCAUGGCAGCUGAAAAUGUCUAUUAUUUGAUUAAAUAUUGAUUGAAAAACUAAAUUGCUACAAGUUAGGAUGAUUUAGGAAGUUUAAGUAUUUAACUGCUAUCUUUCUUUGAGAAGAUAUUCUUAUAUACUUAGCAUAUUACUCUCAGCAGUUCUUAUCAUAUAUAUUAUAAAUUUUAGUCCAAUUGCAUGUAAUCGUGUUCAGUGCCAUCUGUUUGUUUUUGGAUUAUUUGAUUGGUAAGUAUAGUAUUUUCAAGGUAUGUAGGAAUUUCUCUGUAUUGGAAGGGUGUACCUGGAACUUUCAUUAAGUUGAAAGGGUGUCUUUGCGUUUAAAUGGAAGAGGAAUGGAAUUAUCUUUUGUGAUGGUAAUUAAUAGGAACAUAAAUUGCGUUGGCAUACGGCCAGUGAAAUAAAAUAGUUGAGUGUGUUCUUGCAUGUAAUCGGAGAUUCCCCGGCCAAGAGGUUGGGCACCAGUUUGUUAGUUUUGCUGGCAAAAUAUGUAUUUAAAGAAUUGGAUUGGAACAUAAUUAACGUAUUUCUUGCUUUUGUUUCCAGAAUGUGCCGGAUUCUGAGUAGAAGCUACAACGGAUCCUGGUUCCUGGUUCCUGGACAGUGGUGAAUCAGAAUUUUCUUUUGAUUGUUGAUGGUUCCAUACAGCAUUAUUGCUCUUCAAAAUGUUGCACUACCAUAAUUUCGUAAAUGAACAUGACGUAUAUUUUAUUCCCAAGCUUUUACGCUUUUGAUCUCCUGUGAUCUUACGCAAUGUUUAUGUUGAGAAGGAUUGGAAAAGCCAAGGAACCUUUCUUCAGUUGCGAUUUUGUAUUCGCUCUACUUUGAAUCCGAUUUAAGUAUAUUCUAAAAUCGGAUUGGUGAGUUAACUGACAAUUUUCAGGCAAUGAUUCAAUCAGUUUAAUUGGUUAAAUCAAAUUAUUCAACGAGAUGUAUUAAUAAUUAAUGUAAGAUAUUAAUAAAUUUAAUGACAGAUUAUAAUUCACUGAGAACAUUAUUAUCAUUUGAGAUAAAUUUGUUGAAUUUUAUAAUAAUUAAAUUAAAAUCAUAUUUAUAUUUAUGAUGAUUUCUAAUUGGUUGAAAAGUAAAUAAACAUCAUCAUUUUUCAAGGUAAGUUGCCUUGACGAUGUCAAGGAGUAGAUAAUACUUUGAAAUGGGUAUCUUUUGGUCAAGGCUACCUAAUUAUAAGCAAUUGUCAUGUCAUGUAUAGGUUAAUAAUAUGCAUUUAAUUGGAAAUUUUUAAAAUUACAAUGGCUUGGUUAAUCGUUUAUUAAAUGAUAAUAACCAAAUUAAAGUUUUAAUCAAAUUAUAAAGAUUUACAGAUUAAUUUAAUUAGAAAUAUUUGUUAAAUCAUUUUUAUAAAAUAAUUAAAUUUCUAGUGACCUAAACUAAAAGUAUCUUUAAUGAAGCAACCUUAAAUGGCAUUCACUUGAAAUCUAAAUGUUACUGAACAAAAAAACACUAAACGCAAAAGUAACUACAUGUAACAGUUGGCUGAUUUUAAUGGUAUUCAAACUAAUUAGCCUCAUAAAUUUCAGGUUUAAAAUCUUAUGCUGUGUUGGUCCAAGUAAGGAAUGUAAUUUCUCAUAAGCCAGAUCUCAUAACAAGUAUUGUAAAUGAAAAAAAUAGGUGUUAGAAAGAUCUUUAUCCUCUUAAAUGGGUUCAAUCACCUAAAAUUUAAGAUCAAUGUAGCUUCCAUAUGUUUAGCUUGUCAAACCAAAAUAGCCUAUUUCUAUGGACCCAAAAGACCAUUUUGAGUCAUAUGCUCCUAAUUUCAACUAUAAUGCAUCAUAAGUAAAGGCUCUAGAAUUAUGAUAGUACAUGGGAAUUCCCUUGACCGAAACGACAAUGUAUUCAAAAUGUUGACAGGUCACUAUUGACGUGUUAAGACGGAAGUGAUGUAUAUAUACAACACAAUACAUAUAAGUUUAUACAACCAAAUGAUCAUAUAGCCAGCCUCUCAUAAUAACGUAGGCUUGUUCAGGAGAUCAGGCCGGUGGGCAAAUCCGUGACCUCUACCUGGGAAUAUCACUACUUUGGAGCCCCUACGAAUUUUUUUCUGAACAUUCUCAAUUUCACUUACCUUGCAAAGUGGGUCAUUGUCCCCUAAAAUGAACAAGACAGGAGCUUUUAUAUCAGAAGCAGCAAGGGGAUCCAUCCUUGUACCACAAAAGGAGAUUCCAGUGCCAAAACAAGCACCUUGGUCUUUGGCCAGCACCUUUAACACUUGGCCACCUCCAAAGCAGAAGCCAAUAAUGCCAAGUUUCUUGGAAAUUCCUACAGCCAUAAAUUCAUCAACCAGCCAUUUUGUCCAUCUGGUAAUGUCUUCUGCUAUCCUCUCUGGGUUUUGUCUAGCAAUCCACUGUUCAAACACAUCUGGCUGGUCCUUUGUCCACGGACAUCCACGAAAUAAGUCUGGAACUAGAAUGCUGCAUAUUUGUUUAGAAGCAAUUUCACUGACAAGGGUAUUAUAACGACAAAACAGCCAUUAUACAAUUUGCAUUGUGAAUCUUAAUACUUUGUUGAUAAAUAGGAAUGGAGUUGGAACAUACUUGUAACCAUUGCAAGCUACCCGAUAUGCAAUAUCUCUAGUGAAAGAAUCCUCAAACCCGAAAACAUCUGAAAGAAGCAAUUGGCCGGUUCCAUUGCAUUUUUGACUGCCUUGAACAGAUAAUCACGGAUAUCUUCAUCACCCUCCACAAGAGAAAGCUCCACUCCACUGACUAAUUCGCAUGCUUCAUCAUCUAUCCCACCUUCCACAUUCAGUAAGCUGCAUGAUAUUUUUGAGUCUGCGGCAUCUUGAACUGGUUUUUGAAGAUUGAAAUUGCUCUUUUCUGAAAACAUGCUGAAGAAUUGCAUUCAACAAGAGGCUAUCAAGUAUGUGAUGCAAUUCAGGAAUUUUGAGUUACUAUUCAAAAAUAAAAAGGAACACAGUUGGAUCUUAAUGGCAGGAUUUGGGGUCCAAUGUAGGAUCCAACCACUCAAUGCAUGCUUGAAGAGAAAGAAAAAAAAAGGCAGUGCCGUGUCUAAUAGAUUAAUUCAAGCAUCCAAGUAACAUUAUAAUAUUAUAUGUCAUUUGUCAAAGCAAUGAAAACAAUGUAAACAAAUGUGUGAAAUAAGAGAUAAAAGAGAAUUUUCUGGAAUGGCUUGAGUGAGAGACUCACCCAACAAAUUUUUAAUUUAUAGGCAUGAGGAUUACAAGAUAAUAAAUUACAGUGUGAAGGCUGACAUGAUUUUACAAUCAAGAGAAUUUUGGUACCAACCAAAGGCACUGUAAGAGAACAAAUUUUGAAACAGUUUCAUGGUUCACUUUAGAAUGUUCAUGCUGGAUUUCUAAAAGUCUUUUUAAGAAUAUAGCCUUUUUAUUUCAUUUUCCUGGCUUGGGGAAGGAUAUCCAUCAGUUUGAGUCUCUCAGUUACAUAUGGAAACUGGCUAAGCUCCAACCAUUGGAAAUAAAACUGUAAACAAAUUAUCAUUUCAAUAAGUAAUAACAAAAAGAAGUAAGAGAGGAGAAACAGAGCUUAGGAGGAAAUGGCACUGAUGGCGGAGAUCGAGGCUUUGAGAUGGCACAAACACAAACUGAUCCUACGCUUGCCCUUGCUGUUUCUUAAUAUCUGCUUCCACUUAACUCUAGCCUGGUAAAGGAAUACACACAAAUGCUUGGUUUCCAAGGUAGAGGUGGAUAUUUCAUAUUCGGUUCUAUCCUUUACAUUACCGUUUUCCAAAUCAAUUAAUACUACAUUAUUAUUUAUGUAUGCUAAGAGGGAAAUGUAAAGUAGAGGUAAACAAUGGGUCCAACUCAAAUAGGGAAUGGAAACUCGGUAUGAGAAGCACUAGAAAGAAAAAAUAGAACACGAGUCAAAUCAUAAAUUAAAGAAAUAUGAAUAAAUAUCUAUUUUACAACAUGAAUAAAUUAAAUAAUCUAUGUGCGGCAUCUCAUCACAAACUGAUUCUUUUUUACUGGAUGGUGAUAUAAAUUCAGUUAUGAAGAUGGUUUUUAUUUGAUUAAUGGUCUAAAAAAUUUUAUAUUAGUAAUACAUGUCUAUUAUAUUCAAAAAUAUAUAUUUUGUCUUUCACCUUUUUUACAUGCCAACAUGUCAUGGUUAUCAAUUUUGAUGGUCAUCUAUUAUGCUUUUUCUUAUGGAUGGUAUUAUGGUACAAUCAAAAGGAAAUGCAAGCUGUGAAAUAUGUCUCUCCAAGUAUAAACUUCUAUCAUUCAUCUUUUUUUCUUUUGGUUUUACAUUAUGGCAUAACGUUCCUUUCUUAUAUUUUAAUAAGUUAUAUCAAACUUGCAUUGCCAAUCAAUAUUUUGUUCUUCCAUUGUAGUUUAUAAAUACAGAUUGAAACUUUGAAAGAACAAGAACAAUUCUACGAAAAAACGAAGCGUUAAACUAAGUUCUCUUCUGAUAAUUGCAUUUUUAAUUUCAUUUAAAUGAUUAUUUUGAAGACACUUAUACUUAUAAUCCAAUUCUUAGACUAUUUAAUUGCUAUUUUGAUAGUCCAGUUGUAAAUAAAUACAAUUUUCUUAGGUUAGUUGUUUUUAAUCAAGUUUAUGCUAAUUUAGGUUAAAUUUGGAUUUCGUGAUCAUAAUGAAGUGAUGAUGGAUGAAGGAGCAUGAAGGAAAGGUCAAUAUUCUAGCAUCUGGUUGUGGAUAAGCAAAUGAUGCUUAACCCUGAAAUUGUUGGCACUUAAGUGCCACAAGCAAAAGUUUAGUGGAGAGGAAAAGCAUAUGGCGCUUAAGCGCUACGUUCCCUGCGCUUAACCGUCAGUUUGCAUGUGAUGACUUAAUUUGGCCCAUGUUGUACCCUAUUUAAGGGAUUUUCGUGCUGGUGCUUUGCACUUUUUCGUUCUACAUAAUUCCCAAACCUUUUUGCUCUGUAAUAACUAUGAUGGUGACCUAUAAAGCUCUCUCGUGACUCCUCUCUUCAAUUCUUCAUUUCUCCAUGGAAUUUCUGCAACUUAAUGGCUAGGAGUAGCUAAAUCUAGAGUUGUUUGGGCUUAGAUCUAGUGAGACCCACUCAUGUAUUGCUUGUAAACCCUAACUCUAUCUUCAUUUAAUAUAUUGUUUUUCUACUUCCAUGCUUUAGUUACUCUAUGGCUUGAUCACCAAUGAUAUGUGUUAAGUUGAUUUGUGGUUGGAAAACUAUUUUAGCUCUUGAACUGAAGUGGAAUUGUCAUUGAAUUCAGACCUAGGAAUGAGUAUACAUCUAAUGACCUCCUUAUAUGCUUAUGAUUAAUGCAAAUUCUUCUACUAACAUCUCCUAAGGGAUUAGGGGUUUAGUGGUGGAAUUUGAUCUCAAUUGUCUAAGGAAUUAGAAAUUGAUGAACUAUUGUGCAUGGAGAUAUAUUGAACGAGUGCAUGGGUUGGUGUUGACUUUAUUAUUGUUAUGAUACAUGAGGAAUGAUGUCUCAUGAAGUCCAACCAUAACAAUGUUUCCCUUGUCAUUUGUAAUCAACUUUACUGUAUGCUACAUGUUCGAUAAAAAGCAUAAACAAUUUUCUUCUUUUGAUUACAUUAAAUUUUUCUGUUAUUGAAUAAGGAUAGAAUAGUGUUAGUUUUAAUCAAACUAUCUUUAAAAACUUAAUUCUUUAUUCAUUAAUCUUAGUUGACAAAUUGUGAAUAAGUGUUUGAUAUCAUGUGAAUACUUUGGAAAAAUGAUACUUGAACUUUCCAUUUUAUACUACUUGUGUGAUUUUGUUCACUUGUCAAAUAUUACUAACAUCUUCUUUGAACGAUUAUCUUUGAGUGUUAAAGUUUGAUCAUUUGCUUAGCAAAAAAAUUUGUAUUCAUGUUGUAAUUGCUUAUUUUUUUGUGAGUAAAUUUCUAUGAAAAUUUUUAAACUUUGUUAGUUGAAAAGUCAAGAAUGACUUAGUGAACAAAGAAUGUUUAGAUUUUUAACAAUCUCGGAGAGAGAGGGGGUAGAGAAUACUUAUUAUAACCAAAAGUGACAAUGAUAACAUACUUGUUAUAACAAAUUAUUGAUUAGUUGUACCUUUCUAAAGUUGAAAAAGAACUAGACGCAAUUCAAGAUUAGGUGAAUUGGUAUAAAAACAAGUGUUCUUGCUUAUGUUCUUGUGUGUUUUUCAUUGUUUUCUUACAUAAACAUAUUUGGACAGACAAGCUUUUGAAAAUCUUGUUUUUGGAAAAACUUUCUUAUGUAUAUACAUCAUUGGAAAACAUCUUUACAAACUCAUUAUCUAAACUUAUACUUCAUCAUUUUUUUUAUAAAAAAAAAUAAGUUCUCAUUAACACAUUAUUCAAACUCCCUUUUAGUGUAUUUCAUUUAUUUAAGUAUGUCCAUACAAACAUCACCUAUUUCAUAUAAGGUGAAGUCCCUUCUUAUCUACAUGGAACCACUGAAUCAAACUCUUCCCACUAUUGGAUAAUGUAGGUCUAUCUUAACACAAACUAUUAUAAAGUUGUCUCUCGAUACAUCAACAAUCCUAAUGUCCCAUCUUAACUAGUCUAUGAAUUAUUGUCGUCAAUGCUAAUACUAAGCUUUCCUUCAUACCUAAACUGGGAUAUUGCAACCAAACCAACUUAGUUUCUAUUUUAAAUUUCAGAGACACAAAGUUAGAAACUCAAUUUUAAACAAUAAGGUAGUGAUCAAUGAUUAUCCAAAGACCUCUCCUAAUCACAUUUUCUUGAUCUUGUAAAAGCUCGAACUUCACCUUGUAAAAACUAGAACUGUCAAAAUAGGUCAACCCGAUACUAAAAACAAGUGACAAAGAAUGUUUGAAUUUGAAAAGAGUUGUAUGAAAGUUAUGUUAUUUGUUACUUGUUCUAUAUUUAUUUAACUUGUGAUGAUAACAUUCAAAGAGUAUUUGUGAUAAUAUAAUGUAAUGUAAUAUUUUUUGUGAUUAUGAUAUUAUGUUUAAAUUAUUUAUAUUUAUUUAUUUAAUGGAUGGAUUUAUGAGUAAUUUAUUUAUUAUUUUUUUAGAAUAAAAAGUUUAAUUUAGAACCCAUCAGAUUAAAUUUGUUAUUGGCAAGCAACAAGAGAGAUUACUUAUCUUUAAGCCGCCAGCGCAGUUUUAGAUCACACAGUAAGUUUUGGCUAACGUGCGCGAGUGCUGUAUAGUCUUUUCCAGGCUCCACACAAUUUGGUUAAAAUAAGCAUAUUCUCUCUCUUUCUUUCCAAAGCGUCGUUUUCAUAAUCGUAGUGUCUUUCUUCCUUCUCCCUUUGUGAUCGCCUUCUGUUGUUGCUCCACUCACUAUCUUCUUCUUCUAAAAUUAUUUUCCUUUUCUAUCCUUCUAUCUAUCAUUCUUUUACGCUAAAAAUCUUCUCGCUUCUUAGCUUAGCUGUUCUGUUCCAGAAACGAUAAAAUCAAUCAAUCAAAGGAAGCAAAAAAGUCAGAAUGGAUCUGUGUGCUGUUCAUGCGAAGAACCUUUUCCACACAAAUUCGUUUUGCCACAGACCCAUUUCCUCCCAUUUGGGAAGGACCAGAGUGUUUGAGAUCACUGUUUCGAGGAGAAAGCCUUACUCUAAAGUUGGGUAUCGCCCAUUUGUUGUCAGCGCCACGGGGAAGAAGAAUCAUGGCAACUCCUCUUCUUCUGGUCUGUAAUUUCCUUUCAUUUCAGAUUUCCAUUUAAAUAAUCAAUAACUGCUUGUUUUGGCCUUGGAACUUUCUUUCACUCGUCUUAUUUGUCUGUCUGCGAUCACAAUUACAUUAAAGAAACGGUACAUGACAUGCAUGUGAUUUGCAUUAGGUUUUCUUUGGGUGUUAGGGUUUCGAGGAGAAGGAAAGGUUUGCCAAAUUUGCUUCUUUUUUUUUAAUAAACUAAUGCGUUAACUGUAUGUUUAUUUUUAUAUAACUCUUAAUUUAAAAAUAAAAUAUUUGGUCUCCUUUCCUUAAUUUGAUUUUCUCCAGCUCAACCCCAAGUAAUUCCAUGUAAUCCCUCCUUUCUUACUAAUAAUAACUUUACCUUGGCUGCCCAAGUUCCCAGUUAUUUAUUUGGGGAUCUUUGUCCGUUCCGCUUUUCAUCCCUCCCUUUGACCUGGAAAUUCAUUGAAUCUAGCUUAUUACUGUGCUUCCCUUCUACAGAUCAUAAUUGAAUUCUAAACAUAGCUUUAUCAUUAGGAUUUAAUAGUUCAUUGUUCACUUUCCAUUUUGUCAACUCUGUUUUUCUGAAAUCUCUUUCAAUCUUUAACAAAUAAAAAAAAUGAUCAGUUUUAAAAUUGCCAACUUGGGUGUUAUAUUAUGCUUUUAUAAUAUGUACUACAAGUGAAUAGUUUUGCAAUCGCGUCACUUAAAUCUUGUGUUCUUUCUUACAAACUUGAUACAUAUUUGUAAUGUGAGAAAACAUUUCAUGAUAACUACAUUAAAAUAAUCAGUGAUUUACAUUUGUUUGUAGGUGGACAUGUUUGGGUGAUAAAAUUACCUCUUUCAUAUGAGGCAUUUCUGAAGUAUGGACAGUAUGGAGUUCUAAAUGUGAUAGUUUCUUAACUUAGUGCUAUGUGUGCUACUGGAUUUAAUACGCUGGCUAUGUAAAUGAUUUUUAUACUAUCAUCCUAUCAUAGAUUGUCAUGUAUGGUAAGAUUGUUGACUUUUGUAAUUACCACUUUAAAAGUCAUACCCAUGAUGAUUUCUAAUUGGUUGACAGUAUAAAAAUCUUUACACAUUCUUAUGCUACUUUCUUUCUUAGGGACCUAGGAUAUAUUUUGUUUCUCUAAAUUUGCUUUCUCUUCUUUCUGUUUGGGAAGGGUAGAAGUGAGGCCAAAUGUUUUUGUUAUCAAAUUGGUUGGUGUUAUUUAUUUUUCUUACAAUAUUUGUCACGAAAGGAAGUAAUAUUAUUUAUUGCUUCCCUCUCCUUGCUGCGAUAAUAUUUUAACUUGGACCUUCAUUCUACAUUAGCAAUUUCAGGUCAAAGUAAUAAUUUCUAUUAAAAUGAAGCUGUUUACUCACGUACAGAUUGGGGGGGUUUCCUGUAUAAUCAACAGUUCCCUUGCUUGUUUAAAUUAUUUGAUUUGAUAGACAUACUUUUCUGUUAUCCACUAAUCAGCCAUACAUCACCUAUCUCACAGCAUUGAACAAUGCUUUCCUUAAUUUUUUAGUUUACUCCUUUACAUGAUUAAAUUUUAGAUCACUCUACCUUAUGCAUCAGAACUGUAGAAAUGGGUGUUUUUUUACAACUAAUGCAUGAAGAUAGGGAUACAUAGUUUCUUUGAUGUUUUCUGCCUUAUGGCAUCUAAAAGAUCUAGUUGCCUAUUCUUGAUGGCCUCUAUAUUGUUGAGGAACCUGUUAUUUUUUAUGUAUAAAAUGCAAAUUUAAGUUUGCACACAUGCUUGAAUAGCCAGAAUUUGGAAACUUUUUUAGAAUUAAGAACAGGUACAUCAUUCCACUAUUUAAGGUUGUGUUAUCUGUUAUUUAUAUGAUUUAGACGACAUAUGUUGAUUGUCAUUGUUCACUCUCUCUUCAUGUGGAUUUUUAUUUUUCUGACAUGAUAUAAAUUACACCUAAAGAGCCAUUGUCUAGCUUUUCUAUGAGAUAGGCUUAGUAAUUCUGUCUGGUGAAAACUAGUGGGUCUUUUAUUGUACUGUUCUUGAUGCUUCUUGAGUAUAGAGUUUUUGGAGACAACUUGGUAGAAAUAUAUCAUAGACAAAAAGGAUGAGAUUUUGGAUUGAUAACUCAGAUAAGUAUUGACAUUAUAAUGAAAAUCAUAUUAUUCCUUUUCAUUUUAUUGUUUUCUCUUGAUAAUAAUAUAAUUUUACAUGAGUUCCUUUUUUAUAUGGGUAUAUUGAUCAUUACAGGCAAUGAAGAACGGUCCAUUCCCGAAGGAGAUGGUACUAGAGGGAACAAUUCUUCUGAUGGCAACAAAUCAGAAAACAACUCUGAGAAAUGCCACCAUACUAAUCUGGAUUGGCGCGAGUUCAGGGCAAAGCUAUAUAGAGAUGAGCUGGUGAUGCUUUCAUUCCUAAAUGGGAUCUAUAUCUGUCAUCUUCUCUUAAUUGCUCUGUAGCUCUUGCAUGUCAUUUUAAGUAGAAGGGGUCAACUUCAUGAAUCUUGAAAUAAGUUUUAAAACAUCUAUUAGAGUAAUUCCUGUGCUUUGUUACAGUCAUAUAAGCAUGCUUGAUAGUUGGAGAAUCGUCUCCUCUUGAUGGAUUUGUCAUCAAUCUAGGACACUUGAUUGAGUCAGACAACUUGCCUACACCUGUUCUGUUAACCUGUUUAAUGAUUUAUAUUGGUGACCAGGUUUUAAGCCCUACAGGGUUGAUUAAUUUCCUUUUAUUAGUAUUGCACUUUCUGUAUUCUGUGACUUUUUGAUACUUGUAAUACUUCUAAUUAUUGAUGUGGAGGCAUUCAUUUAUGAUUGUGCAUAUCUAAGCAAUACAGUAAUUUACUGAAACAUUAUAUUUUCAUUAACCGAGUUUUCUUCACUUCAUUUACAGAAAGAAAUAUCAGAUGCUGACAUGCACAAUCAAGGUGGAACAUUGCCCAAUUCCAAACCUCUUGGAACACAGUGGGCUCAUCCUAUUCCAGUACCUGAGGCUGGUUGCGUACUUGUGGCUACCGAAAAGCUUGAUGGCAUUCGCACCUUUGAAAGAACUGUUAUUCUCCUUCUCAGAUCUGGAACUAGACAUCAUCAAGGAGGGCCUUUUGGAAUUGUCAUCAACCGUCCUCUUCACAAAAAGAUCAAACACUUGAAACCUACAAAUCAUGAUCUAUUAACUACCUUCUCUGAUUGUUCUCUGCAUUUCGGCGGACCUCUUGAGGCAAGCAUGGUUUUGUUGAAAACAGAGGAGAAGAUGAAGCUUCCAGGAUUUGAAGAGGUAAUCCCUGGGCUAUGUUUUGGAUCUCGAAACAGUUUGGAUGAUGCUGCAGGGCUUGUGAAGAAGGGGAUUCUCAAGCCUCAUGACUUCAGAUUCUUUGUUGGUUAUGCCGGAUGGCAACUGGAUCAGUUGAGAGAUGAGAUUGAGUCAGAUUAUUGGUAUGUAGCUGCAUGUAGCUCAAGUUUGCUUUGUGGGGCUUUAUCAGAUCCGUCAGAAAGUUUGUGGGAGGAGAUUUUGCAGCUAAUGGGUGGCCAUUACUCCAAAUUGAGCCGGAAGCCAAAGCAAGACAUGUAGGUACUAAUGUAUGGUUUCAGAUUUAGAGACAAAUGAAGAACGUGUAAUCAAGGUGCUGCAAAGUCAAAUUUACCGAUGUUCACUUUAAUGCCAAAUAAGUAGAUAAUUUAUCCUCCUGUCCUACUCUAUUGUUAUAAGAGGAACUGUACCUUGCUUCGUUCUUGUAAUUAUGCUUGUUAGAAUAGUUUGAUGUAAGUAUGAGAAUAAGUUCUGUUGGCUGCAUUUUACGAUUAAACUUUCGAAUUUUAUCUAAAGGACAAAGAGCUCCAGCACCAUUGAAUUGGUAAUGAUGUCUAACCACAACUUAAACUAAUCAAUUUUAUGAGUUUUUUUAAAAUAAAAUUUAAAUUUAUGAUAAUAUUAAUUAAAAAUAAUUAAUUUGAAUAUUUUUAUUAAUCUUAAUAAAUUAAGUAUUUGUUUUUUAUAUAUAAGAUCAUUGAUAAUAUAUAGUAAUGUUGGAUCGGAGUCUUAUAUGACAUAAGUAACAUUGAAUUCAUUUUAUCAAUUUUUUGCAUAUUUUAUGUGAUAUAUAUUUUUUAAUAUAUUUUUUUCUUUUGGCUUCUUUAACUCGUUAGAGGGCGAGCCCUGGUGCAGCGGUAAAGUUGUGCCUUGGUGACUUGUUGGUCAUGAGUUCGAAUCUGGAAAUAGCCUUUUUUCAUUCAUAACAACAAUUUGCAGACUCGUGAAUUAGGGUUGCCCUAAAAAAAUCAGAAAAAAAAAAACAUUGUGUUGUUGAUUAUGUUUGGUUACCUGAUAAAUAAAUUAAAAAAAUCAUUGCACGUGUUGCGAGGAAGAAAAUGCGAAAAGAAAAAUUUGAGAAGAUCGAGUGGAGUGCCUAGACCAAGGCAACCAAAGUAGGUGGCUAGAGACAAUAAUUCGAUAAAAGGCAUUUGUGUGGUGUCUGUCUUGCAUAUAUGACUUUCUUGGUAGUACUUCCUAUUGGGAUUCGUGACUCUUAAUAAGAUAAAAAUAAUAAGAGUAAGAAUGGGCCAUUUAAAGGCAUUUUUUAAUUAUUUUUUUUCUUUCUUUGCUUCCUUUUCGUAUUUUCAUAAUAUUUCAAAAUACUUUCUUUAAAAGUUAAUUUCUGAAACAUACUGCCUCUAGACCUAAAUAUAAAAAAAUAUUUUUGAAUUUAAAUAUAAAUAAAUUUUAACAACUUUAACCUUAUUCAAUGAUAUUAUCCAAAAAAUAUCAUUUAAUUAAUUGUAAUUAUAAUUUUAAUGAUUCUCUUUUAUUUUUAAUAUUAAAUAUUAAUGAAAGACACUUUAGAGAAAAAAAUAUUUUUAAAUGUCAUUAAAAGAAUUAAAUGACAUUAACCAACUUUCUUAAUUCCUGUAAGUUAGUUAAAUUUGCUUAUAUUUAGAUUUAGAGAUAGAAUUAAUAAAAUUUAGGUCCAAAUCUUCUUAAAAAAAUAAAUGCAUUUGAAAGACUAAAAUUUGGAAAGUAAUAAAAUUAAUUUAAUUUUAUAAUUUUUAACAUUUUAUUACAUUGCAUGACUUAGUUUCCAUAAUAUAAUAAAAAUUUAACAAUUUCAUAAACCAAACUCUAGAAUUGGAUUAAUUUAAAUUUAUACCCUUGGAUGAAUAGUUAUACAACUAAAGUUAAUUGACAAAUAAGAUUGGAAACUCAAUGCUACUAAAAAAGAAGACUCGAAUACUAAUAUAAUAUCAAAUACAAGUAUGGUACUAAAAUAUAGGUCGAAUACUUAAAAAAAUACAAGUCAAUUACAAGUCUUCCUCAAUGUCAAUUAGUGAGAUGUUCAAUGUUUCUUAUGUGAUGUUUUAAGUGUCAAUCUCUUUCAUGGCCAUGCUAAGAUCAAACCUUGAUCAAAAUAGUUCAAAAAUACUCUUAAAAUCGUGUUUAAGGAUAGAAUAUAACAUAUUUAAGAAACAUAACAAUGUGAUUGUCAUAAAAUACAUCAUAAGAGUCAAUACGCGAAAAAGAUGAUGUUGAUGAAAUUUUGAUGAAGUUGACACACUUGAAUUGAAACAUAGGGAGACUUUGGAAGACCUUAAAGCUUGUAUUGUUUUUUUAUGAGGUCUUUACAUGGUGUGAAUCUCCUUAAAACUCAUGUUGAUCCCAUGGAUUGGUGUAUCCUUGCAAAGUUAGGUAAUUGUGAGGCACCACUAGGAUUGUCAUUCUAGUUAAGAGUGUUAGUGUUGAUGUCCAAAGUGGAUUUACCAACUAACAUGUACUCCUAGGCCAUUUUCACAAAGAGAUAUUUGAAUGGUACCACAUACACAUGAUAAUAGAAGAAGGAAAGACAUUGAAUUGCAUUUGUGCACCAUUGUUAGUGUGUUCGGUUUAUAUGGUUUUGUGAUAUGUGUGUCAUGUGUGUAUUGUCUUGUACUUGUGUGAAGUUCAUGUAUGAUUCUAUCCCAUAUUUAAUAUGUUGUUUAUACGUGAAAAAUUUUGUUGUGACUUGUAAUGUGAUUUGUUAUGAUAUCAAGGUUAAGGGUAUGAUGAAGGUUACACUUAUAAUGGUGUCAUAUGAGUCAUUGUUGGGACUAGUAUAGGUGUAAGGAUGUAUGUUGUUAACUAAGGAAUAUGAGUUAACAAGAUGCAGUUGUGAUAGGAAGGUAUUAAAAUGAGAAUGAGAUCAUGAGAUUAUAAUGGGAUUAAAAUAGCAUAAUCAUUGUGUUGAGACUAAGUUCCUCUAAAAUCUAAUGUUUUAAUGAUGACAAGCCACUAUGAAGUAAAAUCGCAAGUUAUUGGAUUUAGCUAUUAAUGGUUAUUUUAAGUGUUCUCCAUUAAGACAAGACAUAUUUAGAAGUAUAGUACAUGUGUGAAGCAUAGACCUACAGUGAAAGCUUUUCAUGACAUAAAUUGUACAAUCAAAACUAUGACUACUAGAAGGAGAGUUGUUCAUAACCUGGAAAGACAAUUAUGUUUUCUAAGUCAAAAUGCAAAUUUUGGAAGUUGUGUAUAAUCAUAGGCAUGAUGUUGGGGGUAGCUUAAGUCAAGGGUUUGUUAUUAGAAGCUACACAUAACUUAAAGAUCAUCAGAAGUUGAAUUGCAAAGUAGUUAGUCAAAGAACCAACAAUCAAGUAGAAGGGAGAUUGUUGCACAUUGUAUUGCAGUAACAAUGCAUCUCCAAAAGACUUUCCAUGAUUCAAAAUUUGAAACCAUGUGGAAACCACUAAAACCAAUAGCUAGCACUCAACGAAUCUUUCUCAACCAAUCAUUCAACAAAUAUAUUCAAGAGUGCAAGUUGGCUGACAGUGAAGAAGAGUAGAGAUGAAAAAGACAAAUCAUUGAGUUAUAAUAGGAAAAGGUUGAAUGUGUACAAAAAACCUACUUCUAGGAACUUGGAUAACUCAUGCAACAUUUGAAAGUUGAAUUCAACCUCCCACGAUAAUAACAAGUAGCUUUAAGAUCAUUUUGUAAAUUUAUUGAAUUUGAUGAAGCAACUUGUAAGGAAGGAGUGCCAAAAAAAAUAGUGUAAGGUUAGGUGAGCUCAUCCCUUAGGAUCUUCCUUAGCCACAGACUCUAGGUGGAGCUAGUUAAGCCAAAUUUGAAAGAGUGUAAACAACUUCAUCAAUUGAGCCUUAGUAAAAGGCAUCCUAUAAGGUAUAGAGUUCACCCCUAGGAUUAUAGGGAUAAAACUCAGAAGAGUACUCAAGAGACUGUUGCUUUUGAAGUUUAGUGUGAACACAUCAAAUAUUGUGUGAGUCCCGUAGCGGUUGCAACUAAGAGUGUGAAGCUUGGAAAGGCUUUUGAAAGAAUGCUUGUGUAGAGCCUACAGAGGCUUAGAGAAUACUAGGGUGAAGCCUAAAGAGGCUUUUCAAAAGAAUAUUUAAGGAAGCUUGAAGAGGCUUUGUGAAAGAAUACUUAGAGUAAGGCCUAAAAAGGCUUUUCGAAAGUAAUACCCGAGUGGAGUCUAUAGACGUUUAGAGAAAACUAGUUGUAGGAGCUUGUGGAGGCAUCAAGAAGGAAAGAAUACCACAGUUCAGUGUUUGGUUUUAGUGGAGAAAGCAUACAGGUGUAGGUAUUGGACAUAUCCUAGAUCGAGGGGGGGGGGUUUGAUUUUUUUCCCUACAACUUCUUGUUUAUUUUUGUUGUUGUGAGCUUAAAAUUUGUUUUAGAAUAUGUUAUAUUUGAUAUUUGGUCAAGAGUUUUUUAUAAAACUGUUUUAAUAUUUUGAAGGAACACCAACUUUAAGCAAAAAAGUAAAAAAUAUAAACUAUUAUCUAACAGUAUCUGUGAUGUUGAAAGAAUGAUCUUGAGAAGUAGAAUACAAGGCUACUUGGAGUUUUUACUUUAAAAAAAUGUUUUAUCAAGGUACUUAAGAAGAAAAGGUAUUGCUCUUGUAAGCUUACUGAUUUCCAUGCUAAAAGAAAAGUUAGAAGUAAAGUGUGCUUGUGCAAAAAAUAAUCUGAUCAAUUUUAGUGUUACUAUUCAAUCACAUUCUAAUGACCAACUAAUUAACUUCAUAUUGUGGAAUAAGAAAGAAUUUUAUGGGGUAUUAAUGAUAUUGGUACAAAAAAUUUAUUACAAGCCCAAUAAAGACAAGCCAUGAGAAAGAAGUAAAAGGGGUAUUUAGAUAGAAAUAUCUAACCCACCCUUAGAGUUCCCAAAACAUUCAUUGGGACAUUAUGUCUUACUGAUAAAUUUUUUCACACUUUAUUUUGUGAGCAAUUAUCUUACAUUUUCUUUAGAGUUUUCAUACAUAAUUGUUGUUUUUUGUUGAUUAAUUGUAUAAAAUGGUUUUAAAAACUAAAAAAGAUAAUUUUUUAUGAUUCUUGUGUAAAUUUUGAUGUUACAAAAGUAGAUUUUGAUUAUUAAAGAAUAAAAAGUUGUAGAGAAGAUCUCGCCACAGCGAGAUAAGCUUUCACCGCAAUGAAGCAAGACUUUUGAUCAAUUGGAAUUCAUAGAUAUUUUUCACAAUGAAUUUUCAUUUCGCCACAACAAAUCUACAAAGCUUAACACUUUGGAAUUAAGAGAAACUCACCAUAAUGAGUUAUCUAUUCACCCCAACAAAUAAAGGUCCAAAAGCAUGAAGAUCAAGUACAAAGUUCUUAGUUCAUAAGUGUAGUUUCGCUGCAGCAAAAAUCCUCUGAGGCGCAAAAAUUUAAUGUAAUCUCAACUCCAUUUAAAGAUCUUGUAACAUCAUUCCUGUAGACUUUUAGUACAUUAGACAAUUUCAUAAAUAAAAUCUCAAACUCUCUUCUUUCUUUUUUCUCUAUUAUCCCUCUCUCCCAUUUUCCUCCAUCGUUACUCAUUUGAGGUUCUAUUUGAAUCCUUCAUGAUCCAAAUGAGUUAAAAUAUGUAGUUAUUGAGAGAUUGAAGUAAAAUUCAAGUAUGUAAUCAAUGUUUUUCUAAUCAAUUCUCAUAAUUAAUGUGAUCAUAUUGCUUAGAUGCAUGUUAGGAAUGGUGAAUCUAGCUUUUAGGGAUUUGGAUUAGAUAGAAACAAGUUCAAAUCCUAUAUUCGAAUUGAAAUUGUACUAGACUUUGAUGUUAGGAAUUGAAAUUGCCUUAACUUACCUAAUCGACGGUGAAAAGGUACAUGGAUAGAUAAAGGCUUAAGGGUUUGUAUGAUGCGUGGUGCGCAUCCACAAAUAAAAGGCAUAGUCAAUACCUUUAUUAAGAGAUGACACAAAAAAGAACUCAUUUUUCCACCUUCCAAUUGGAAAGAUGACCAUCACCCUCGAUGAUGUGUCAUGUCUUUUACAUUUACCUAUCAGAGGUUGUAUCCUUGAUCACGUAGAAAUGAGCUACACCAAGAAGGUUAUCAAAGAUCUAUUAAGGUUAAAUCUUGAUAUUAUGACAGACCAUAAAACAGAUGUUGCAACGUCAGUAGGCAGCAUGGUGUUGUUGAGUUGGCUAGAGGGGCUAUAUCACACCUAUGUUGCUAGUGCAUUGUAUGUUUGGGCUACAAGGGUGUAUUUGUUGCAUUUGCUCGACAAUACCAUAUUUGCAGAUAAGAGCUCGACGCAUGUACAUAUAUACUAAAUGCAGUACGUCAAUGAUCUAGAUCAUGGCAACAAGUACGCUUAAGGAGUAGUUGCACUUGCAUUUCUUUAUGAUUAGUUAUCGUAUGUGACAAGUAUGCUAGCUAGCAGAUGGUAGGUUAUAUGACACUUCUCAUGGUAAGUAUUUUUAUGUGUACUUAAUUGUUUCUUUGUUAAUAUUAUAUGACGAUAAAAUUAUUUUUAUGUUUUACAGGCAUAUAUGUUUGAGCAUCUUCCAACCAUUCCAGCCGAUGAAAAGGUGUUGGAGUAUGACCACAAGCAGCCGCUUGCAGCUAGGUGGUUGUUGUUAAGGGGGUACCGAAAAUGUUAUUGUGACUAAGGAGGCAUUGGAUUGGUUGCAAAUGAUUGAUGUUGUUUGGUCCCGAUAUGUAUCACACAGAGACCUUAAACCUUUCGAGGACCAGGCAUACUACUUUGGGUACAUUAAAGUUGAGAUAAACAUGCGAUCAUAUCUAUAAAAAAGGAUUUUUAGGUAGUUUGGGUACGUACAAAGGAUUCCCUUGGAGUGUCCUGCAUAUGAGAAGUAUAUUGAGGCAUGGGACGAGCAGGAGCAACGUGUGAUGCCGCUGGGCGAGGUUGUUCCACAUGGGCUCCAUUGACCUAUAUUGCAUUUUACUUGCCUUGGUAUUAUGAGCAUUCAUAUUCAUACCAAAUUCUGCCAUAAGAGGGAGAGGCACUACGUAGUAUUGUACGUAUCCUGCCACAACCACAACCAUAGUCUCAUCCACAACCUAGUGGUGGUCAAAUACCAGAUUAUGUACAAGGUGUUGUUUACUUGUAUUAGAUAAUGCAAACAAUAUUGUCAUUAAAUACCAGAUUAUGCACAAGGUGUUGCUUACUAACUGUGUUGUUAAAUACUUAUGUACAAUUGAUUUUAGAUGAUGUUAGUGUCCAUAAAGAGAUUGUUGGACAUGCGAGCUGUACCAGAAGGCACAAAUAGCCAUUAGGUCGUACAACAAUUUCUAUUGAUGGCACAUGAGGGUGUUACAACUAGAUGUAGCUUAGUCAAGGAGCGACCACUGAGGAAGAAACCCAACAGAGGUGACCAUAGAAGUAGUUGAGCAUUAUUUAAGACAUUUGUCAUUCUUCUUCUUCUUCUUCUUCUUCUUCUUCUUAUUAUUAUUAUUAUUAUUAUAUUGUUGUUGUUGUUGUUGUUUGUACAAAUUUUUUUUUAUGUUCUAUGAACUUAUAUUUUGUUUAUGUUUUCCAUGUUUUUAUGUUCAAACAACACACACCUAGUAAUAUAAUAAAGAAUGAAAUUUCAAUUAAACUUAGAAAACAAACAACAUCGACAACAACAACAAACAUAAAAUUCAUCAAUUAAAAACAUGAUUACAUAUAGUUAUCAUCUUCAUUAAAGCUUGUUGUUGUCAUUGAUCCACGUAUUAGAGCAUUGAUCUCUUCGACAAAUCUUGAUUUUCUUUAUUUACGCAGCAGAACAAGAAUUUCUUCUCGAGAUCGACCAACCAUUGCAUAUAACUCAAUCUAUCCUUUGGAAUUAAACUCUGGAAAGAUGAAAAACAUAUUCUCCUUUUCAUUGUGAUAUUUGAACUCCAUAUAGUCAUACUCAAUGUAACCGUCACCUACAUAUAUAUGUUUACGGUAAAAAAAACCACAAAUAAGUUUCUUUCACCUUUGAUGACAUCUGUAACCGUUUUUUCUCAAAGCAACAAAUGGCAUUUUUCUCACUAAUUUUAAUGAAUUUAGGAUCACUAUGACAUUCAAACAAUACCCCCUAUGAAGUUGAUACCACAUCACCGUCAUAGUACACAACAACAUCGACUCCCUCCAUCUUCAACCCAAUAAAGUAAAAUAUCACCACAAUGCAUUGAGCUGCCUCAAGCCACUUGUAUUUAUUAGCAUCUUAUACGAUUCUCUUGUGAGUCAAUUAUCAACAACAAUCAAGACUGUGCCAACAAAAUAGACAUUUCGGAUUACAUUUAGCUAUAGGAGGGCACUGUUGACUUGUUAGACCAUCAUAAAUAUGGUUGUUAAAUUAUAAUAUAGUUCAUUAAAUUUUACAUUUUAAUAAUUAAAACACUUUGUAUAUAAAACACAUACACAAUAGAAUCGUGAUUUCAUUGCACAAAGUAGAUAAAAAUAAAUAACGCAACAAAAUCGUGAUUUCAUUGUGCAAUUGAGGGUGGAAAAAUAAAAUAAAAACAAAAUUGUGAUUUCAUUAUAUAUUUGUACAAGAGAAUCACAAUUCUGUUGUGUGAUUCAAGGGUGAAAAAAAUAACAUUAAAAAUGCAAUUCUGUUAUACAUGUGUAUAACAAUCAUAUUUUUAUUGUUAAUUUUUUUCACUUCCAAUUAUGUAACAGAAUCACGAUUUUGUUUAUUUUCGUCCAAGAGAAAAUAGUAAUCCAAAAGUGUAGUGCAAACCAAUAUCCGGUACAACUACACAUAAAACACCACUAAUUCAAUUUGUAUUUUUCAACAAUAUAAUUUUUUAUAAUUAUUCUUAUAAUGUAAUUAAAAAUAUUUAAUCGUGUAAUUAAAAAAAUCAGUCUUACAAAUGAUUGAAUUCAUCCAAAAAUAAUAUGUGUACAUAUAAAGUAAGUUUCUAUUAUUAAUUGAACAUUUCACAACUAAAAAAGGAAAAAAAAAAUAAAUAAAAAAUUAUUCAUAAGCUAUCAAUAUCAAACUUAUAAAAUUUAAACAAUGAAACCUACUGUCAAAUUAGAGUUAAUUUAUUAUUUAAUUAAAAAACAGGUUUAUAAAAAAAUGAAUAAAUUGAACUGGAAUAGUUGCAGCUGAGGGAUGUUGUGUGUUUGUAAAAUGGACACGCAGAUUGCACGUGAUCAUCUUUAGUAGUUCCUUCCAACCCAACAGCAAGCUCUUUGUUUUGUUCCCCACCACCAAUAACGGAGUCCGAGUAGUGCUACUUGUCUCUCGCUCGCUCAUUUUUACCGACAAACACAAACCCCUUUCCCUUUUCUCGGAACUUUUUAUUUUGUUUUGUAAGGAAGAAAAAAAGCCCAAUUUUCGCCGUUCUUUCCCAUUUCAACCACACGCACACGCACACGCACUCAAAUCCAUUUCAACCAAUGUAAUGUGUCUGUCUGGGUGCUAAUUUUUUUGCCUGAAAGGAAAUUGAGAUCUCAAAUAAAAUCCUCCAUUCCAAACCAAAUGCAUGGUUACAGCCGCCUGGGCGGAGCAGCGCGGUCGCCUCCGUCGUCUCCUCGGUUCCGGCACGGCCGGAGCAAGAGCAGCAGCUGGUGUUCGUCGAAGGAGAGCAAUUCCAUGGAGAAGUUGGUCUUUAUUCUUAUGUCGGCAGUUUUUAGAAGGCGUGGUUUGCUUCUCUUCGCUCCUUUGCUGUACAUUUCGGGAAUGCUGUUGUAUAUGGGUUCCUUGAGCAUCGAUGUCGUCAGUAUAAAGAACGGCGUCGUUCUUGUACACAAGCGUGCUCCUCCCGGUUCUGUUUAUAGGAGUCCUCAGCUCUUCCAAAACUUGUGGCCUUUCAUGGAGGCUGAUAAUGGAACUACUCUCAAUGUGGUACUGCACUAUUCCUUGAUAAACAAUUUGUUGUUCUGCUUUCCUAUCUGGAAUUAACUGAGAUGUAAAUCAUGCAGUUGAUGAGAGCAUGGACUAAAAAGGAGCUUAGAGAGUGGAAGCCCUGUGCUAACAGAAGUGUUCCUGAAAUAGGUCUUUUCUUCUCUGGAAAACAAAUUGUCCAAACUUGGAAAAUUGGUUUUAGUUGGUUGUUGCAUGGAUUUUUUUUCUUCCUCUUUUAGUCAAUUUUGUUUCUUUGUCAUGUUGGCUCCCUCACAUUCGAUUUAUUUCCAAGUUCACUUUUAGUUCUAGAAUCUCGAUUAUUUAUUUUAUCUUAUGUCCUUGUUGUCUUUGUUGGAGGAAUUUGCUAACUCUUUUCUUGUCAUCUUAUAGAAUUGCCAAAGUCAAAUGGGUUCCUUAUAAUUGAAGCAAAUGGUGGAUUGAAUCAGCAACGCUUGUCGGUAUGCCUAUUGAUAAAACGAAAGAUUUUAUUUUUACUGAAUUUAUUUAUCUGGGAUUCUUACAUCAUGUUCAGUAUUCCAUUCCAUGUAAUGAGGGGCUCCCAUUCAAUUCAAGGCCUCAUUAUAUAGAACCAUGAAUGAAGCAUGGAAUACCAUUUCCUCAUAGAGAGAUAGGAUUGAGAUUUCAUGCUCUCUGAAAUGAGAAAACUCAUUCUACUUUACAAAAUGGCUUUGCACACUUCAUUUUUUCUUGUUACAAAUAUUGUUUUACACCCUUACAUUUUUCCUUUCCUCGCAAAUAAAAAUGUUGCUCUUCUUUUCUGAACAAUAGUUUGUUUUUGAGGAGUAAAUAAAUAAACCUGAAUGUUCCUAGUUUUUAUCUUUGUUUGCAUGUACCAAACUGUAUUGGAAAAUGGAAAUGGCCAUUUCAUUCCAUUUUCAUCAGUCAUCACAUGGAAUCACCAUUCUGUAUAUGAAACAUGUGAUUGAGCCCUUGUGAUUGGGUGCAGAAGGGAAUUUGAAUCGUGUAGGUAGGAGGGAUUAGAAUGCUGUUAAUGGUGAUUUUCUACAACAAUCAUUUGUUUCGAAAAUGGAUACCUAAUGAGUUAAAUCUAGAGGGCUUUAUGAGGUUGGUGCAUAUUUUUUUCUCCUGGUGUUUGUCCUUGUGUCAUUUUGCUCUGAAUGGAUGUAUGGUGAUAGACUGUCAGGCUUACACGAAUAAUAAAAUUAGAUGGACAUUGAUGCUACAAAUUGCUAUCUAGUAUCUACAUGACAUAUCCUUAUUGUUUUGGCACUUAUUAUACUACUCUUCGUGCAGAUAUGUGAUGCAGUUGCUGUGGCUGGACUACUAAAUGCAACUCUUCUUAUUCCUAUAUUUCAUUUAAAUAGUGUAUGGCGAGACUCAAGGUAAUUGCUUUUGUUAUGCUUAAUUUUAAAAUUGAUGACGUGAUUAGGGUGGUUGCAUAAUUUAUUCAUGUUUAAUGGCUGUUAAACCUAGUGGGAUAAGGCUUUGUUGUUGUUGUUGUAAUGGCAGUUAAUCCUUGCUGUGGCUCUAGUACCCUCUUUUUUAAAACCUUAUCAUUUACAUACUAGGAGUCUGAAUUUGUAAAAUUGAUCAUGGUUCAGUAUUCUACUUUUUCUAUGCUUGCCAUUUAUAUGACUUGCAUGCAGGAUAGGUCAGAUGGGAUAUCAGCUCAGAACAGUUAAGGGGUAUGAAGAUGGAAGAUCAUCUUGUGUUUGAUUUCUUUUUAGAUGAAAUCUUUGGAUUGGGCUUUAAGUUUAAGGAUUGUAAUUUAUGCGUAGGAAGAAAUUAAUCAACUAAUGCAACACAUCUUAGUGAAGGGCUGAAGGCAUAUCUUUAACCUUAGUAUGAAUUUUGCUGUUUUGAGGUUAGCUGGUCAGGUACCAUGUAGAGCAUCCUUUUGUUUUUCUACAAUGGACAAUUUCUUAAUUUUUACUUAUAACCUCCAUUCUCUAUAAUUUAUCUCUGUAGACAAAUUGAUAAGUUUUGGACAUUGGGAAUAGAUAUGCACUGCAUAAAUCAGUUUGGUUUUGGUCUUUUACUUUCUGACAUUUUUUGUGACCAUUGAAAAUGUUGGUAGCACAUUCACUUGGAACAGAAAACCACUUUGACCUUCUGAACUUCAGAAAUUAUCUUAAAGACUUAAACUUAGUGGUACAGAUGCCAAGCUCAUAGUGACAGUUACAACUUACAAAUAUUGAACUCAGAGUCCAUUACAUUAGUUGCCACUUUCCAGUGGCUUAUUCUAAAGCAUUUAAAGGAACUACUUUUGGAUAGGAUAUUUUGACUCCUUUUUUGUCGAUAACCGAUACAUCUGAAGUGCAACCAUGGUUAAGUUUUGUAUAUGUAGAACUGAGUCCUUUAGUUUUAUAAUAAUCUAUAUGGAAUUUUCUUUUAAUAUAUAUUUCUUGUGCAAUCAAAAGUUAAUGGAAAGGUCAUUUUAUAAUCCACGAUUCCAUGCUAAUGCUUAGUGACAUUGUUUGUGUAUUAUAAAUUUGAAAAUUUAUGCUUCACCUUAAUAUCUGGCAGCAAUUUUGGUGACAUUUUCGAUGAAAAUUUCUUCAUACAAUCACUUGGAAAUCGUGUGCAUGUGGUGAGAGAACUCCCUGAUGACAUACUUCAACGAUUUGACAAUAACAUAAGUAAUAUUGUCAAUCUUAGAGUAAAAGGUUGGUCCAGUUCAGCUCACUAUCUUCAGAAGGUCCUUCCUCAGCUUUUGGAAAUGGGGUGUGUGCCUAUCUAAUUUCUAUCUUCUUCUGUUUCCUCACCAUUGGUUGGCUUCCAAUUCUUCUAGCAUGAAAGCAGUUUCUGCUGUGUUUUUAAAUAUUUUUACCUUUACAAUUAAUUCAAUUAUUCUCAAUUGUAAUUAAGUGCCUAUCUAAUUUCUAUCUUCUUCUGUUUCCUCACCAUUGGUUGGUUUCCAAUUCUUCUAGUGUGAAAGCAGUUUCUGCUGUGUUUUUAAAUAUUUUUAUCUUUACAAUUAAUUCAAUUAUUCUCAAUUGUAAUUAAUAUAUAUUUUCAUAUGAUAAAGAUGUAAAAUGGUAGCCAGAUAAGAUAGAAAUAUGUCAUGCUCACAAAUCAAAAAUAAUUUUCAUCUCAUGUCUGGCUGCUUGAGUUUCCGUAGAUAUAAUCUCUUCAUUCACUGAUACUUUGAUGGCUGAAUACGUGCCUUCUUUAAAUUGUAUUAGUCAUAACCGGGGGAACGAGAACUCCACAACCCAUUAAUGUAAAUAAAAUCCCAAACAAUAAAAACCAGUUCAAGGAAAGGACUUAACAAUCCAAAGCCUGUACAUAGAACAUAGACACUGCUAAAUACCUGAUUUUUGGUCCCCAACAAGUAACAGCUAAUUGCUGUACAAUAUCCCUGACAACUUAGUAGCUGUAUAUAGUAAUACUACUUUACUGACUUUUGCUGCAUUUUUACUAGCAUGCUGUACACAACCCAUUCUUACAGUAUAAAUUGUUAAGAUAUGAUAUGAUAGAGAUUUAGGAGAUAUGAUAAGAUAUGAUUCUGUUUAUGAUAUGGUAGAUAUUAAGAGAUGUGAUAGCUUAUUUCUAGGAAAGUAGGAAAGUCUUAUCUUAUCUAGUAGGAUUAUAUCUCUAAGAUUUAGAUUAGAUUUUCUUUUCCUUUUUACUAGUUUAUCUUUUUGUAUCUAUAUGUACGCACAGUCUUUGGGUUAAUGAAUAACAAGAGAAAUACACAGAUUUUCAGUUAUGUCCUCUAAUUCUAACAUGGUAUCAGAGCCUAUAGUCCAUCUUGGUUAUCGCCUGUUCUGGCAGGCAUCUAUGGAGGAGGGGGCGUGUUAGGAAGUUUCGCAUCAUCUACCUCAAUUCUGGGGGUACAACUGAUAUAUCUAUUGGACAACUUCACUUAAUGCCAGUUGGUUUUAAGCUGAAAUCUAACAUAAAUAAGAAAGAGGCAUAAGGGACAAUACACUUAUGUAUUCGCACAGCAAAGGUUUCUCCUAUGCUCUAAUGCUGAUUCUUUUUAUAGAUGUUCUUAAAUGGUACUAUAAUAUUGUUCUUUGUCAUCUAAAUCUCACUCCGAUUUGAUGAAUAUUUUGAUGUCAUACAACAAUAAAUUUCUGAUUACUUAGUGAUAAUGUCUUUAGAAAUCCGGUAUCACUUAGGCUUAUGCAAACACACAUUUAAAAAAUGAAAGUGGAAAUGCAGUAGGAUAACAUUAUAUGAAAGUUUGAGUAGAUGAUUUAAAUUUAAAUAUCUAAAUGCCUAAAGAGUCGUUGGUUUUGUGGUGCUCACAAGAGAUCCCCCCCAACCCCCAGUUGCCCUGAUCCUCAAAAAAAGUACAUUUGUAGUCAUUUUAUUGAAUAUGAUAUUUUAUUAUUAUUAUUAUUACUACCACUAUUUUUCACUUUCUUGCAGCCAGUUCGCCAUAUAUUGUGCAUGGCUCCUAAGAGGAAUUUGCUCAUGCUUGUUGCAGGGCUGUUCGCAUUGCACCUUUCUCCAACAGAUUAGCUCAAGCAGUACCCUCAAAAAUCCAAGGGCUUAGGUGCUUUGCCAAUUUUGGAGCUCUUAGAUUUUCAGAACCUAUACGAACACUUGCAGAAAGCAUGGUUGAUCGGAUGGUUAAAUAUAGCUCCCAUAGUGGAGGGAAAUAUGUUUCAGUGCAUCUUCGUUUUGAGGAGGUGUUUUUCUAAUAUCUUUGUACUUAUGAUGUUGGAUUUACUAGAUACAGUAUUGAUGCAUAAUGAAUAAGCAUAAUUUAGAAUAAUGUUUGUUAACGGAAAGGAUGAUAGUUUAAGGAUUUUACCUCAUCCCUAUUCCCUAGAUAAAUCAUUAUAUUUUAGCUUUCAUAUUUGAAGUGAGGUUGACUAUAUGCCUACUUUCUGAUUAUGACUUAUAAAUACCCUAUUGAUUGUUUUAUUUUCUUGCAAAAGAGACCAAGACUUUCAAGUUAUUGAUAAACAGACUAUUGUCAACUUUUGAGUUUCCUGUGUGUUUUGGUCGCUUGGUUCUAAAUCAAUUGCUAUUCAGAGCCUAGUCCUGCAAGUACAACUACCCAUUGCACCAAAAGCCUUUUCUCCGGCAAUUUUUCUGUAAAUUGGGCAAGCACUAAAGUUUCUGUGUGCCAGGAAUACACACAACACACUUGUUGAUAUUGCAAAUAUUCAUUUCUUCAUCCACUGAAUGCUAAUCACUGAUCAAGAACGAUGAAAAUAGCACCAAUGACUGCUUCUGUCAUAGAAGGCUGCUGAAAUUAGCUCAUCCAGGGGAGGUGUUCAAUGAAUAAAACAAAAUCAGAUCCAGGAGGCACUUAGUGGUCUCCAACACCAUCAAAUAUGAGAAUAGUUGUUUGCAUCUCUUUUCUUGUGGAUAUGCUGUUCUGAGCAAUGGAUAAGCCUGCAUGUUGCUCUCUGUAAAUUGCAUGAGGGGAUAUAACAUUUUCUUGUUGCGCCUCUUGAAAUAGUGAUAGAUGUUUACCUCUGCAGAAUAGGGUUUUAGCAGAGGAGGAUAAUGAUGUGGAAUAAAUAUAGUUUAGGAUAAUUUAGGUUAUUUUUAUGAUUUUCCCUUAUAUCUAUAUGUUAAUUUUUGGUAUUUGUUUAUCUGAUUGGAGUUGACUAUAUGUCUAUUGUAUGAUUUAAUAUCAAUCAGUUUCUUUUUGCUGCCACCUUUUGCAAAUUGUUAAUAAAUAGGCUAUUGUCAAUUAUGUGAGUUUUUUUUUUGUGUUUUGCUUCUUUGGUUUUAUAUUAAUUAUGUAUUAUUUAUUAUAAUUGUUUUGUCCUUGUAUAAAGGAUAUGGUUGCAUUUUCAUGCUGUGAGUAUGAUGGUGGGGAGGAGGAGAAACAUGAAAUGGAUAUUGCUCGUGAAAGGAGUUGGCGAGGUAAAUUCAGAAGAAAGCAUAGGAUAAUAAAGCCUGGUGCAAAUCGUGUGGAUGGAAGAUGCCCACUGACUCCUUUAGAGGUACGUGGUUACAAAUUCUUGUCCUUCCUUUUUUGGUUUCUUCAUUGUUUCCAUUUCUUUUCCUCAUAUUUGUGCUGUUUAAUAUCCUUGGGAAAAUAAAAAAAUCAAAUGCAAAAUUUUGAAAUUAUUUGUUGCUCGUGCUUUGGCUGUACAAUUAUGCUUUUUUUCAUUUGAUAGAAAAAAUGGAGAUGCUUGAUGCUUUGCAACAACAAAGCCUUAUUCCAUUAGGUGAGGCCGGCUACGUGGAUCACAUGACACCAUUUAGCAUGGUUAAAAAUCAUAGUUAAAAAUAUUAUUAAGUUUAAGAUUUCCCUUGAUGAUUUCCUCGAACGUCCUUUUUGGUCUCUCUCUUCUUCUUUUCCCCAGGGCAAGAAUCAUGCAAUCUGCUCUUCUAACUAGCACCUCUUGUGGCCUUCUUUGUACAUGACCAAACCACCUUAGCCGAUUUUCUGUCAUCAUUUUCCUCAAUGGAUGCUACACCAAUCUUCUCUUGUAUAACGUCAUUCCGUAUUUGUAUGACCACACAUUCAUUUUAACAUUCUCAUUUUUGCUACUCUGACUUUUCUCUCAAGUUGUCCCUUUAAAGCUCAACAUUCACUACCAUAUAUUAUAGCUGUACGAUAAAACUUACCUUUGAGUUUGGUUGGUACUUUGCAAUCACAAAUAACCUCUGAUGCUUUUUUUCAUUUAAGCCAUCCUGCUUGUAUCCUAUAUAUGACAUCCUUGUUAAUUUCACCAUCAUCUUAUAUGAUUGAUUCCACACAUUGCCCCCACCCCUGCCUGCCGUCCCCCCUUCCCCCCCACAAAUGCUUGAUGCAUUAAAACCUAAAUAUUCUAUUGCUAUUUUUUUCCUAGAAAUUUGAUUUGAAUAUACUACUUAGAUUCCUGAGUGUAAUAUAUUCCAAAUAAUUAGUAAAUAGAACUCCUCUGAAUUUUAAAUAUUAUCUGUUUUUUCCUUUCUAAAGAGGUCAAUUAGUGGGGGUGGUAGUGGUGAUAGUAGUUGGCCAAGAAACUAUACAUCCCAUGAUAUUAAAUGGGCAUUUGUUUUCCUGAUUUUAUUCAUGCUAAUUUAGUUAGGCUUCCCUAAGAUACAAUUUGAAAUUUUAAUAUGAUCCGUAGCAAUCAAUAUCCUAUGAUCGGGUUGCUGGAAAUUCUUUUGAGAAGGAAAAGGGGAGAUACAAAAAUUGAGCUUUAGAAAUAUUGAAAUGCAAAAUUAAAAUGGAAAACACAAUCAUGUAAAGAAAAAUGUGUCCUGGUAUGAUUUUCACGCCUCAUUUUGUUUGAUGUUGUAGGUGGGAAUGAUGCUUAGAGGCAUGGGUUUUGAUAACACAACCUCAGUAUAUGUUGCAGCAGGAAAGAUUUAUAAAGAACAGAAGUACAUGGCACCACUUAAACAGAUGUUUCCACGAUUACAAACCAAGAAUACGCUGGCAACACCAGAAGAGCUUGCUCAAUUUAUGGUAUUUAAGUGAUCUAUGCUUGUUUAAAACAAGAAAAAUUCAUUUUAUUCUUUGUAGAAAAGAAAGGUGAUUAUGGGGGAAAAAUUCUGUAAUCCACAUGUUUAUGAUGUAGGGGCAUUCGACUAGGUUGGCCGCUCUUGAUUAUACUGUUUGCCUUCAUAGUGAAGUAUUUGUUACAACCCAAGGUGGAAAUUUCCCCCACUUCUUGAUGGGUCACAGGCGCUAUAUGUAUGGUGGACAUGCAAAGACAAUAAAACCCGACAAAAGAAGAUUGGCUCUAUUAUUCGAUAAUCCUAAUAUAAGGUACAACUUUGGCCAUUUCCUGGUUUUUAUUUGUUUUUGCAGUUACUUUUUUAUUCAAACAGUAAAAUAUUUAUUUAGAAGAUGAACUUUAUUUGUCCAGAAGACAGUUAUCCUAAUUAGAGAAAAUUGCUUCUAUAUUUGAUAAUCCUAAUAUAAGGUACACUUAGGAAGUACUGAAUAUUAUUCUUACGAUAAAUGUAAAGAAUGUAUUUACAUUAUACAGACCCAUAUCAAUAAUUAUUUGUCUAAAAAUAGAGUUAAAUCCAAGGGAAUAAAGCCCUGUCUCUGUAAACACUUGGAGAAAAAGAAAAUAAGAAGAAAAAAUGAAAUAAGUUUCUCUUAUAAUUUAAAAUUAGCUUAUACAUAAAUUAAAAUCAGUUUUUUGGAAUAAGCUAAAAUCACUUAUCCAGGUCUACCAGGAUUUCAGUUGAUGAUGACUCUAGGUGGCCAAUUGCCCUUAGGAAAGGUAUCAGGUCUACCAGGAAUUCUCAUCCUAUUUAUAAUGUUUUGAGUUAUUACCAGUUAUUUCCCUAUUUUAACUUAAUUUCAUCCAUAUCACCUCUCAUCAUUCCUAAAAAUAUUCAUGAAGCACUUGAUCACCUUGGGUGGCGACAAGCCAUUGCUGUUGAGAUGCAGGCUCUUGAAAGCAGUGGCACAUGGGAGUUAGUUCCCCUACCUCCUGGAAAGCAGAUGGUCGGUUGUAGAUGGGUGUAUGCUAUUAAGGUUGGGCCUAAUGGUGAAGUUGAUCGCCUUAAGACUGGACUGGUAGCAAAAGGAUACAUUUAGAUCUAUGUGUGGUCUUGAUUAUGGUGAUACCUUUUCUCUUGUCACCAAACUCACCACUGUUCGUUUAUUUCAUGCUAUGACUGUCAUUUGUCAUUGGCCUCUCCACCAAUUGGACAUAAAAAAUGCUUUUGUACAUGGUGACCUAGAUAAAGAGAUAUACAUGGAGCAACCUCCUGGAUUUGUUGCUCAAGGGGAAUGUGGGCUAGUUUGUAAACUGUGCAAAUCUCUUUAUGACCUCAGAUAAUCCCCACGUGCUUGGUUUGGGACAUUUAGUCAAACUUUACAGGCAUUUGGAUUAAAACAUAGUGAAGCAAAUCAUUCAAUCUCCUUUGGUCACUCCUCAUUAGGAAAGUGUAUUUAUUUGAUCGUCUAUUUUGAUGACAUUGUUGUCACAGGAAAUGAUGCUGCUGCAAUUUCUCAGCCAAAAAAACAUCUAUUCAACCAUUUUCAGACCAAAGACCUUGGAUGUCUAAAAUACUUCCUUGGUAUAGAGGUAGCUUAAUCAAACGAAGGCAUUGUUAUUUCUCAAAGGAAGUACGCUUUGGAUAUUCUGAAUGAGACUGACAUGAGUGGAUGUAGGCCUAUUGACAAUCCCAUGGAUCCAAAUCAAAAGUUGAUGGCAGAACAGGGUGAACCUCUCUUAGAUCCUGAGAGGUACAAGAGACUAUUGGGAAACUAAUUUAUCUCACAAUCAUCAAACCUGACAUCUCUUUUGCAGUUGGAGUAGUGAGUCAAUUUAUGUAGAAUCCUUACACUAACCAUUGGAAUGUUGUCACUCAAAUUCUUAGAUACAUUAAAAAGGCUCCAGAACAAGGGUUGUUGAAUGAAGAUAAGGGAAACACCCAUGUUACUGGGUAUUGUGAUGCUGACUUUAUCUCACAAUCAUCAGACCUGACAUCUCUUUUGCAGUUGGAGUAGUGAGUCAAUUUAUGUAGAAUCCUUACACUAACCAUUGGAAUGUUGUCACUCAAAUUCUUAGAUACAUUAAAAGGCUCUAGGACAAGGGUUGUUGAAUGAAGAUAAGGGAAACACCCAUGUUACUUGGUAUUGUGAUGCUGACUGGGCAGGUUCUCAUACUCUACUACUAGAUAUUGUGUGUUCAUAGGAAGAAAUUUGAUUUCUUGGAAGAGCAAGAAACAAAAUGUUGUUGCUCGAUCUAGUGUAGAAGUUGAGUAUAGAGCAAUGGUCUCAGCUACUUGUGAACUUAUGUGGAUCAAACAACUUCUUCAAGAACUUAAGUUUUGUGAAGUUCAGCAGAUGCAAAUCUAUUGUGAUAGUCAGGUAGCGCGUCAUAUUGCCUCUAAUCCAAUAUUCCAUGAAAGAACCAAGCACAUAAAAGUUGACUGCCACUUUGUUUGAGAGAAGCUAAUGGCUAAGGAAAUUAGUGCAGAAAAAAUUGGCUCUAAUGAUCAACUUGCAGAUAUUUUGACUAAGUCAUUAAGGGUGCCUAGGAUUCAAUUUUUGUGUUCCAAGCUUGGUACAUAUGAUUUAUAUGCUCCAGCUUGAGGGGUAAUGUUGGAAAAUAGGUCAUGAUGUACCUUACGUUUUAUUUUUGUAUUUUGUAUACCUGUUGUCUGCUCUUUUCAGAGCUCUGUAUUUUGUUCUUUCCUCUCUUCAACUUACUUAGCAAGCUAUGUUUUCUAAUAAAAUAGAGCCUAAGUGUGAAGAACACUUGAGGAUUUCCAUUCAAUCAUCUGUAGUUACAUUCAAGUAGAUGAUUUGGACAUGUGAAGAGAAGACCUGUAGGUUCACCGCUGAAGAUGGUUGACCAGAUGGAAGAUAGAGCAAUAUUUAAGUGGUAUUGGGAGACUAAGGAAAAUUAUAUAGAGAUUUAGGGGUAAAUGGUCUAUCUUUGUACUUAAUACAUCAUGGAAUUUUAUGGCAUUAUAUGAUUCAUGUAGCCAACCUUAGUGGGAAAAGUCUUGGUUGUUGUUAUAUAUUAUUAUGCAGAGAAAACUUCUAAUCAAUCAAUAUCGAAUACAUUUCUAAUCAUUCUCUAAAGAUUUAAUUAUUCAAAUACCUCAGUGUUGACGGAAAAAUAAAGGUUGAUUGUCUUCUGGAUAUUCUUGCUCGUAGAGUCAUCUACAAUUCAUUCGAAAUAGUCUCAAAAUACAAUAAAAUAUUAACGAGCGAAUGUUCUUGUUAAUGUACAAUUCAUAUGGAAUUUGGAAUGGAUUAAGUGCUGAUAGAAACUAAACUGCUUAUAUUGUAAAUAAUUGUCUAAAGAAAUCAAUAACAUGGCUGCAAAAUGUGACUCUUGUACUCCUCCAUAAAUGUAACUGCCCCUGAUACUAUGGCCGUGCUUUGUCUUUCCUGAUAGUAUCAAAUAUGAACAGCUGCAAACUUCUAGCUCGAAUUUUUUUAUAAUUGACUGAAAAGAUGAAGGUUCAACAAACAAUGAUGAAAGACGAGCCAUAUUAUUUUUGUUAAUGGGACAAACAGAAGUUCAACCUUUUAGAUUUGUCUGCUUUCUAACUAGUGUCGAUUCUCAAGUAGACAUGUAAAUGUUCUUUAUCAAGUAUUUUUCAUGUGUGAAAGAUUGAUGUUAUUAUUCUACCCAACUUAUGUCCACCCCACUGGAUUCUGUACUCGUUAUAAAGCUUACCCCUAGAUUUUUUUUUACUAACUUUGCAGAUGGGAAGUAUUCAAGCAGCAAAUGAAAGACAUGCUUCGUCAUAGUGAUCAAAAGGGAACUGAAUUAAAAAAGGCUGGUGAGUCUCUAUAUACUUUUCCCAUGCCAGAUUGUAUGUGUAGACAGGCAGAACCCAAAAGUGAAAACGGUAACACGACGAAAUAUAUGAAGCUAUAAAUGUAGAGGAAUCGUUUUUAGGAAAUCAACUUGUUCAAUACAUGUAAUUUAUUUUGUAACAUUAUUAUUUUUUAUUUUCUAGUAAAAAGUAGCUGUGAAUUCAUAAUUAUUAUUAUUAUUGUAUAUUGUACAUGAGAUUCAUGGUAAACUGAGAUAGACUUGCACGUGAUUAUCAUGAUUCACUUUACUUUUGAACGAUCGACAAACCUUGUGUGACAAUUUAAUUUAUUAAGCCAAGAUGUUCAAUUUGCAAGUGAUAAAUAACAUCAAUUGGUUGUAAUUUUAUAGUCCAGAGGUUAGCUUGCAAGUUUAAAAAUAUUACUAUUUAUUUUGUAUUGUAUAAUAAAUACUUUUCAUUGAAGAAACCUUGUUCUUGUGAGGAGCAGUGGGUGUGUUUUGUUUUACUUUUUUCCAGGAGUUUUAUGCAUUACCGUGUACUUGAUAUCAACCUGCACAUACAUAGCUGUCGUAUUGAAAGAUAUCUAUUGAAAUAUAAAUAAGUAAAUGAAAUGAAGAAUGUUAAUAUAUUAAUUUAUAUCAUCAUUAUUAAAAGUGGUAUUUAUACUCCGUGGACCUAAAGUUUAUUGAAUUUUUUUUCUAUUAUAUCUUUUAUUAUCAUGCUUGAGUGUUGGUUGAUAUUAUAGUUUCCUAGGUAUAGAAAAACAAGAGCAUUACAAAAACUCGGUAGAUUUAGAAAAAAAGUAUAAAAUAACAUUAUAAAUGAAGAUAUAUUAAAUGGUUAUAAAUUUAUUAUAUCCAACUAAAUAUUUAGUAGGAUUUUCUUAUAAUUAAAUAAAUAAACAAAUAUUGAUUAUUAAUAUUGUCAAAUUAUCAUAAAUUACUGAAUUUUAUACCUAGACGAUAUAUAAGUUUAAUUAAAUUAUAAUUUUUUAAAUUUGUACUCAAUAUUAUUUGUAUUUAGUAUUAUUUAAAAAAUUAAUCAUUUUUUUAAAUAUUUAGUAUUAUAUUAAAUAUAAUUACAUUAAAAUUGAGUAAAAAGAUUAAUUAUAUUUGUAAAGCUUAAAUAUCUUUUUUUUUUUUCAUAGCUUAUUUUUUUCAUUUUCAUCCUUACAACAAAAAAUUUUGUUUUAGUCUUUACAAGAUAUGUUUGUCCUAUUUUUCAUUUUUAAAGUUCUUUAGAGGAUACUUUUUUAUUAUUGUUCAAAAGGUUGUUUAAAGUGUUUUAAGGACGAAAAAUAAAUCACACAUUUUAAAAGGACUUAAAUGGAAAAAAAUACUAAAUUACAAAGAUAAAAAAGUAUUUAAUAUAUUUUUAAUUGAGCUGACAUUAUUUUCAAACAUACGUAAGACUAUGUUUAUCUUGAUUUGUUCUUUGUUCAAGUUGUAAUAAAAGUGAUGUAAUACUUAUAUGAUAUGAGAUGUAUAAAUUAAGAAAGAGUAAAUAUAAAUUUAUAAUUUUUGUAUCUUAUUGGUUUAUAAUUUAUUAUAAACAAUUCAUUGUAAAUGAUUUUUAAAAAUUAUUUGUAUUUUUUAAAAUGAAACAUGUUAAUUAUUAACUUUUCCUAAGAUUAUCAUUAUAAAAUAAAAUAUAUCAAAUAUUAUACUUCAUUAAAGUAAUUUAUCAAUUUUUUGCUUAUUUCAUAAUUAUUACUAUUUAAAUAAGAAAAAUAUAUAAAAUAAAUAACUUAACUCUAAAAUUAUUAAAGAUACUAGUAUGAUUUUACAACACAUGAUCAUAAUAAUGAUGGUUCUGAAAAAAAAAAAAUCAUAAUAAUGGUAAGUAAAUUUCACACUUAGAUCAUUUCUCAUUCACAUAAUCAAUAUGAAAUAAGGAGAGAAAAGCAUGAUGGAAUAUUUAUUUUUCAUAUUCAAGUUCAUUUUUCUUAUAUGAAAAAUAUGAAUUCAAAAAAUAAUCUAAAAAUAAUAAAUAUGAAUAUAUAAUACUAUGUAAUUAUUAAAGUUGUAUGCUUAUUUUAUUUAUUGUUGAUAUAAUGUUAAUAUGUAGCAAUUUUUAUAUGCACUUUUAUCAAUUAAAAUUUAUUUUAAUUUGUUGAGAUAGUGUAUUCUUUUCAUGAUUUUAAAGACAUUAAUUUUAAUUAUGCGAUAUUAUUGAAGAUUUAAAUUGAUUAAUCCUCAUUAUUGCAUAAAUUGAGCAUUCCUAUUUAAUAUAAUUAAAAUCAUAUAUUAUUAUUGUUAUUGUUGUUGAGAGAAGUAAGAGCAAUGGAAUACAACAAUAAGUUCGGAUAUCAUUAUAUUGGAGUAACUAUAUUAUCUCUUAAUUUAGUAAUUUUUUCUAUUUUUAUUUAAUAAAGAAAAGACAUCCAAUCAUAGUUAUCUUUUAUAAAAAAUAUAAAAUAUUUAACUUUUAAAAAUGAAUAAUCGUUCAUUGAUUUUUUUAUAUUACAUGAAUCACAACAGUCACUACCAAUCUAAAGAAUUGACAUAGCGUUAGAAAUCUUUUAUCCUAUCUUCAAUCUUCUUGUACUCAAACAACAAAUUAAUUUGAAUGGCUUUUACAAAUUCAAUUGGAAGGAAAAGGGAUUUGUUAUAUCUAGAAUGGUGAAUUUGCAAGCAAGAGACACAUACACGGGAAUGAAACACAUCAUUUUAGGUUGGAUGAUUGUUUUCUUAAUGUGAUCUGGGAAUGUCGCGUCACAUGAAGAGAUCGUUGCAGUUGCAUUGAUCCUUCGGGAAGAAAAUUCAAAAUGGGUGUUCAGGUUGUGAUGGAGGUUGUGGUGGUGUUUUUAAUGGUGUUGCUUUAGGGUGAAGGACUGAAGGAGAUGGUUGAGGGUGGUGGUGCCGAUUGAGUGGCACACUGGUGGUGGUGUGGUGUGGUUUGGUUGGUGACAAUAGUGUUUUACGUCAAGGUUGGUGACAGUUUGGUUGGGUUUGACAUGAGCUUGGUGGUGAUUUAGGGUGGCUACGCUGAUUGGGUGAUGUGGUGGUGAUUCAGGAUGAUGGAACUGGUGCUUGGUGGUGCGACACAAAGAGAAAGAAAAAGGGAUGAGUGUUCAUUGUCUUGACGGUUUGAAAUGUUAAAUAAAUUGAGACGUUGGUAUUGUUUGACCAAGUUCAUGAAAAUCUGUUUUAUGUUAUUCUCUUCCUAGUUUUAAGUUAUGGCAAGUGGAAGAGUCCAUGACUUUUGUUCCUACUUUUAAGUAAUUGGUUAUUGUUAGUAGGAUAAUGUUUAUCUGUUGGUUAUUUACUGUGUUGCCUAUAAAUAGGCUAUGGAUUAAUAAAGCGAAUACACUUCCACAAUAGUUGACAUCUCAUUUCGUAUCUUUAUUUUUUUCCCUAUUUUAACAGUGGCAUCUAAGCUAGGUUUAUUUUUGAGUGUAAAAAGGGAAGUGUGAGAGUUGUAAACACCAAAAGGUUAGGGGAAACACUAGGAAGUGAGGUAGAGAGUCGGUCAUUAUUUCUUCACUUUGUUUUCUGUUUUGCAGCAGCAAUAGAGGACGAUGGUCACAGACAAUUUCAUGCAACCUGCCAUUCAUCGCUUUGAUGGUCAUUAUGAUCAUUGGAGCCUGUUGAUGGAAAACUUCUUAAGGUAUAAGGAGUAUUGGUAAGUUGUAUCUGAUGGAAUUUCCGUAGCAGAGGCCAGCAUGGCAAUGACAGAUGCACGAAAAACGAAAAACAGAAAUAGAAGGGUUGUGUUUGAAGGAUCUCAAGACAAAGAAUUAUCUUUUCCAAGCAAUUGAUUGCCCAAUCUUGAAAACUAUCCUUUGCAAGGAUACGUCUAAGGACAUUUGGGAUUCCAUGAAGAAGAAAUACCAAGGUUCUGCAUGAGCAAAGAGGUAGUAACUUCAAACAGUUCGGAGUUUGAAACACUACGAAUGAAAUUAGGAGAAUCAGUCAUAGACUAUUUUCACGAACGAUGAUAAUCGUCAACAAGAUGCGAAUCCAUGGUGACAAGAUGGAGGACACCAUUGUAGUUGAGAAGAUUCUUCGAUCACUAACUACACAAUUCAAUUUUGUUGCUUGUGCUAUCGAAGAAGCCCAUGACAUUGAGGAACUUUCACUUGAUGAGCUGCAAAGUUCCUUAUUGGUUCAAGAGAAGAAAAUUAACCAGCAGGAGACAGAGGAGCAAGCAUUGAAAGUCUCAACCGAAAAUUGCCCCACAUCAAAAGGAGAAAGAGGACGAGCAGAGGUCGAGGAAGCAAUGAUCGUGGCAGCCAACAAGAACGUGGCAACCAACAAGAACAUUAACAAUACCAUGAGAAUAAAUUCCAAAGAAGAGGAAGAGGAAGAGGGGGCAACCAUUCAACAACUCACAGAGACAAGUCAAAUGUUGGAUGCUACCGAUGUCACGGAUAUGGUCAUUAUCAGUCAGAAUGUUGGACUAAUUUGAACAAAGACAAUGAAGAGAAAACUAACUUUGCAGAAAAGGAAAAGGAAAAGGAAUAAGAGGUGUCUUUUUUUAUGGUAUGCCAUGUAAAGGAAGAAACUCAACAAAAUUUAUGGUAUUUAGACACUGGUUGUAGCAACCAUAUGUGUGGAGACAAGGAGGUGUUCUCUGAGUUAGAUGAGACUUUUUGCAAUACAGCCAAGUUUGGCGAUAACUCCACUAUCUCUGUCAUGGGAAGAGGAAUGGUAACACUCCAUGCCAAAGAGAAUUCAACUCACUAUUUCUAAUGUUUUGUUUGUUCCAGAUUUAAAAACCAACUUGCUUAGUGCGGGUAAACUGCAAGAGAAGGGAUAUGAAAUUUCUAUCAAAGAUGGCGUAUGUCGAAUCAAAGAUGAAAAGUUAGGCCUAAUUGCUCAAGUUAACAUGAUGCCAAAUCGCAUGUUCCCACUUUAUCUCCACAACUCCGGUCACUUGUGCUUCUCAACCAAAUUGAAAGAUGACGCAUGGCUUUGGCACUUUUGUUAUGGUCACUUGAACUUUGGUGGAUUGAAGACUGUGGCAGAAAAAUAUGGUGACGUGUCUUCCUCAAAUCACAACUUCCUCUGAAGUUUAUGAAGAAUGUGUAGUUAGCAAACAACACUGUAAUCCAUUUCCACAAGGAAAAUCAUAGCGAGCAAAAAAGGCAUUGGAGUUGGUGUAUUCUGACAUUUGCGGGCCAAUAAAUCCAUCUUCAAAUGGUGGUAAAAGAUAUCUGAUCACUUUUAUUGAUGAUCUUAGCUGCAAAACAUGGGUGUAUUUUUUGUAGGAAAAAUCUGAAGCACUUGCUGCAUUUAAAAAUUUUAAAGUGCUUACUGAGAAAGAAGUUGGUAGCCUAAUUAAAGUACUUAGCACUGAUCGUGAUGGAGAAUUCAACUCACAUGAAUUCGCAAAUUUUUGUGAGACCCAUGGAAUCAAGAGGCAAUUUACAGCUGCUUACACACCUCAACAAAAUGGUGUAUGCGAGAGGAAAAACCGUACAAUUAUGAACAUGGUGCGAAGUAUUUUGACAAGGAGUGGAGUUUCCAAAACUUUCUGGCCUGAAGUUGUCAACUGGAGCAUUCAUAUUUUGAAUAGAAGUCCCACACUUGCUGUUCAAAAUAUGACACCGGAGGAAGCAUGGAGUGGGGAAAGACCAGCAGUAGAUCAUUUCAAAAUUUUUGGGUGUGUUGCCUAUCUCACAUUCCAGAUCAAAAGAGAAGAAAGCUAGAUGACAAGGGAGAAAAAUGCAUUUUUCUUGGUGUUAGUGAACAGUCAAAAGCUUACAAAUUGUAUAAUCCUAUCACCAAGAAAAUUAUCAUUAGUCGUGAUGUGAUAUUUGAUGAAGGGCAGUUCUGGAUUUGUGAUAAAGACAGUGUUCAAUAACACAUACAAGUUGAUUUUGAUAGAGGUAAUAGAGAAGAAAGGCAGGAACCUUCGGAGAAUGUGCAACCCGCAACAAUUGAGCAACAACCAACUGGCAACCCACACAUUUCAACUGCUGAAACUGAAGAUGAACGACCUCAACGUGUUAAGCAAAGACCUGCUUGGAUGGCUGAUUUUAAGGUAUAUGGACUUCCCCAAUAUGAAGACCCACAUACACAUUUUGUACUAUUUUCAAAUUGUGAUCCAGUAGCUUUUGAAGAUGUUGUUAAAUAAUCCAAAUGGCGAAAGGCAAUGGAUGCUGAAAUUGCAGCCACCGAAAAGAACAACACUUGGGAGUUGAUAGAGCUUCCCAAAGGUUAAAAGACAAUUGGUGUGAAGUGGGUUUACAAGACCAAGCUGAAAGAGAAUGACGAAGUGGAAAAAUUCAAGGCACCGUUGGUAGCAAAAGGCUACAAACAAGAGUUCGGGAUUGACUACAAAGAAGUCUUUGCUCCGAUAGCAAGGCAUGAUACAAUUAGAUUGGUGAUUUCUUUAGCAGAACAAAAAUCAUGGUCCAUCUUCCAGUUGGAUGUGAAAUCAACGUUCUUGCACGGAGACUUGGAAGAACAGGUAUUUGUUGAUCAACCUCCCGGUUACAUUAAGACUGGAAAUGAGCAUAAAGUGUAUAAACUGAGAAAGGCUCUUUACGGACUAAAACAAGCACCUCAGGUUUGGUAUAGUCGUAUUGAAGCUUAUUUUUUAAGAGAAGGAUUUCUGAAAUGUCCUUAUGAGCACACACUUUUUGUUAAAAUUACUGAUGGUGAAAAAUGCUCAUUGUAUGUGUGUAUGUGGAUGAUCUUAUUUUUACUAGGAAUGAUGUUAUCAUGUUUGACAAAUUUAAGAAGUCCAUGAUGAUUGAAUUUGAUAUGACUGAACUUGGCAUGUUGCAUUAUUUUUUGGGCAUUAAAGUUGUGCAAUCUGCUGUUGGAAUCUUUAUUUUUCAAAAGAAGUAUGUGCAAGAAAUAUUGGACAGGUUUCAGAUGACAAAUUGCAAUUUUGUUAACACACCGGUUGAGUAUGGUUUGAAACUAACCAAGGAUCAUGGAGGAAAAAAGGUUGACAACACACUUUACAAGCAAAUUGUGGGAACUUUAAUGUACUUGACAGCAACAGGACCAGAUGUUAUGUAUGCUGUGAGUCUUAUUAGUAGAUACAUGGACACUCCGGCAGACAUGCAUCUUUUGGCUGCCAAGAGAAUCUUUCGGUACUUGCAAGGUACUGUAGAUUAUGGAUUGUUUUACAAGAUGGGAUUAAAGAUAGAUUUAGUUGACUUUACGGAUAGUGAUUAUGCUGAAGAUUUAGAUAAUCGAAAGAGCACUUCUGGAUAUGCAUUCAUGUUAGGCUCAGGAGCUGUCUCAUGGUCAUCCAAGAAGCAACCAAUUGUUACUUUAUCAACAACUGAAGCAGAGUUUGUUGCUGCCACAACUUGUUCUUGUCAAGCUAUUUGGAUGAGGAAAAUUCUUGAAGAUCUUCAUUUUGAAAGACAAGGGCCUACUACAAUUUUCUGUGAUAAUAAUUCAACUAUCAAACUCUCCAAGAAUCCGAUUUUACAUGGAAGAAGCAAGCACAUUGAUGUGAAAUAUCAUUUUUUAAGGAAGCUCACAAGAAAUGGGACGCUUGAUCUCAUCUAUUGCAGAAGUGAAGAUCAUAUAGCAGAUAUAUUUACGAAGUCCCUCAAAUGGCCUAUGUUUCAGAAGCUAAGGAAAUUACUCGGUGUUAGCAAGUUGGAGAAUCUAGUUUGAGGGAGUUUUUUUUUUUAAACUGAUAUGAUAUGAUUUAUCUGUUUAAGGGAGAGUUUGUUAAAUAAAUUGAGACGUUGGUAUUGUUUGACCAAGUCCAUGAAAAUUUGUUUUAUGUUAUUUUGUUUCUAGUUCUAAGUUGUUACAACAAGUGAAAAAGUCCAUGACUUGUGUUUGUUAUUACUUUAACAAGAGGAAUUUUUGACGUCUCAUCUCCGUAGUGGAGUAUCUUUAUUUUUUUCUAUUUUAACAAGAGGAAUUUUUUUUUAACCAGCACCCAUCUUUUAAGAAGAGUUAUUUGGACUUUUCAUUAAAAAAAUAAAUGCCAUCAAUCAUCAUAACAUUAAGGGGUGAAAAAAAAUAUAUUUUAAUGGAGGAAAUGCAAUAAAUCCUAGGAACGACGAAUGUAAUUUACUUGAUAAUAUAACAUUAAAGCCAAGAGAAUUAGAAAUUAAUUAGAAAAAUCAACCGACAAAAUCUGAUGUUCCAACACCAUAUUUGGUUCUUGAAAGCACUAGCUAGGACUUCGGAUAACAGAUGCUGAUAUAAACAUAAGGAGUAGGCAAAAUGAUAUUAUGCUCAAGACCAUCUUUCUAAUCACAGCAACAAGAGUAUAUAAUCUACGACCAAGUAGUGUGUGUCAGCAAAGCGUUACGCAACCACAAAUACCACCACUAUUUUACAUCAGUCAAGGUCCGGAGUCAAUCUUUACAUGCAAGAAAAACGUGAACACAUCAACAAGGGGACAUUAGUAGUAUAGCUUUGCCCUGAAUCACAAGGUUUAGCAGUCACUAGCCGGACAUGAAUGACGUUGCUGCUUGUCUGAAGUCCAAAGAUUUGAGAGCUUCCCGGGGAAAAGGCUUCCCAUCUGGUAGCCACAGGCCACCCUCAUGAGGUAGCAGCACCUGCGGUUGGGCUUGGCUACUUCCUUCCUUGGAUGAGACCUCAUUCCUUUUCUUCACAAAUUCAAAAAAUUCUGCAACUUGGCGUGCAUAUCUGCACCUCAGAAAGCAAUACAUUACAAAGCAUUAGGAAUCAAUGGAUUAAUCUCUCAGCAAUGAAAUUCUCUAGCAAAGAAUUUUACUUAUUAAAGGAACAGAGAAUUUGGUUACCUACGGGUCUACUUCCAGUUAUAUCAAUAACAGGAAAUGUAACAUUUCACUACCAUUACAAAAGUAAAGAUUUGCAACUUGCAAGUGAAGACUGACAAGAGCAAACUUUGCAAGGAAAUUUUUAUUGCUUUAAGGUGCAGUUUGGAUAAAAUUUUCAAUAAGCACUCAUGGAAGACAACAAAGCAAUAAAAGGCAUAAAGUUCAGCCAUAACUCACAAGUUAAAAUCAACUUCUGCACUUUACCUUUUUAGAAGCUACAGUGCAUCAGUUGAUUUUAACUUGUAAGAUAAGUUUGAUUAGUUUUACCUCUGUUUCUUCUUUUAUAAAUGCUUUUGAAUAAGUUUAUCCAAACUAGUCCUUAUUCAUUAAGUAUUUAAUUGAGUAGAUUACCCAAAUGCACUCUAAAGUCCCCUAUGUUUUAGAAGCUUUCUUGUGGGAUUUCAAGAAACUAAUAACAUAAAUACUAAUGGUAAUUCGUUUUUGUAAUUUUGUUUGGAUAAAAAUUCAUGUAGUCCUGCAGUGCAAUGGCUCUCUAACAGUAUUAUUUAGCUAUACUUUGAAGUACUAUUCACAUUUGAUUUCAUGUUACAUAAAACAUAUCCUUGCAAAACUAAGGCACCUAUUAGCAUCACAAUGCACUCCAAGAUUCCAUUCCGUCUAUGCACACCUUAGUACUUCUCCGUGCAUGCUACAUUGGUUUCUCAAGAUUAUGUUGGACAAUGAUUGAUACCCCAAUCACUCAUAUAAAACACCUGGAUGUAAUAAAUAUGGGGCUAUGGCCAUCAGGAUAAGGUUUGGGGACUAUGCCUAACAUCGGAAAAAUGACUCAGAAAGUAAAGAGCAGAUGAGCACCAAAUGGCAAAUAGUCCUGCAGAUUCACCAUUGGCUAAACAAUAAAGUGAUCUUAGCAAGAUGGAAAACAUCCAUUUAGCUAACACAAUAUAUACAAUCCUAGUUGUAAGUUAUAGGAAAAAUAUGUCAUCUAAUGAUAUACCACUCCACAUAUAUUAUGGGAUCAAACAGUCUACAAUAAACAUGAAACAAAACAUACAUAUGCUUUUGCACCAAACCCACUUAUAUCUCCUAAAGCAGCAUCUUUGAAUUGUAGCAGUGACAAUAGGUUCAUAGCUUCACAGAAAUUAGUUACCUUUUUUACCCCAGAUGCUAUGCUUACCAGUUACAUGAUGACUAAUGCAUAAAAUUCAUGCGCAUACCCACCAGAAAAGUUGUAUACUAAUUUAACACAAAUUGCUCAACAUAUUGCCCACUUUUCUAAUUGUGUGCACAAGUUUGUGAACAUUUAAACCCACUUAUAAACUUUGCCAAAGAUCUUGACAAACUAGCAGUAUAUUCAAUAUUUUAAAGUUGGAAGCAUGAAAAAUAAAACCAACACUUUAUUAGACUGUAUGAGAACACAUCAGCCUUUGAUUUUCCGCCUCAUGUCUCUACUCUCUAAUUCAGUGGAUUUGGAACCACAAUGCCCCACCCACCCCUCCUAUUCUCCAAGAAACACAUCAAACAGACCUUUUUGUGGGCUGAAAUGAUAAAUUUGAUUAUUUUAUCAAAUAACAAAACAAGAAAAAACACCAGUCUCAUGGUUUGAUGAAAAUAGUAUCAGGGUAGUAUUAUUCUUAACUUCUAAAAUUACAAAGCACUAACAAUCCAAUUUAUACCAACAAUCUAGGUCAAUUACUAGAGUAGUGUAAUGACACAAACUUUGGGUAAACCACACCGCAAAAGUUGGCCAUUGUGGUGGGCAAGCACGAAUUUCCAAUACGGGGCUCAGGUCUCAUAUCUUACAAAUGGAACCUCACAUCCCACUAUGCUCUCCAGUCCCAGCACACAUAGCCAGGCUGUGCACUAGUCUAGUUCCAAGUAGAGACUGCAAUGCCAACAUCACAGCUCAUGCUACUCAUUUGCAACUGGGAGACGUGGUAGAAGGCUCUAAUAUGAAUUGAUAUCAACUUUGGGAGAACCACAUUACAAAAGGUAUCCAUUAUGGAGGGAAAGCUCAACUUCAUAUAAACCACACAUCAGAAUACCAUACUUGAGAUGUAGGAAUCAAGUCCCAUACCUUGCAAUUGGGACAUAGGCACCUAGCAUACAACUAGUACAAGACUACAAGCCCAGCUCAACAACAACCCUACAUAACAAGACUCCUCAGGACAAUAAGAGUCAUAAUAUUCAAACAGAGGCAAAAAAAAUUGUCUGACAGAACCAAAGUUUAAGUCCAUGGUAAGGAAACUAAACAAAUAUCCGAGUAAGGAAACUCAAACAAAUAUCCGAGUAAGAAAUAGUUAUCUUACUGCCUCUUUGCUUCGAUAUCUUUGCUGAAAUCAAUAUUGGGUUCACAGUCCAGAACCAAAGCAGGAACCUGUUUAUAGUUCAAAUGGUUAAGCCAGUUUACCAUAACAAACAAAUUCCGACAUGGGAUUUCCAAAUAUUGUACCUUCUGAAUGCUUGAAUGCAUGUGACCACCCUCCAGAUAAAAAACGCGGUCUCUUAUAUCAGGGUGUAAAGAGUUGUCAAUAUGAUGGGGCAGCUGAUUGACAGAUAAUACUCCAUGAUUACCACUUUGGGAGGGAAAUAACCAGCUUUCAUGCUUUUCAUGGAGGUCGCAGAGAUAGUCAAGGCUGACUCCACCUUCUUCUGUUCUUUUUCUUAACAUCAUUCUCUUAUGGCAAGUGUCAGGACUUGCCCUAAGAUAGAUAAAACCAUCAGGAAUAAGUCCAGGCAAGGAGGAUACUACAGGAUCAAACCACGAGUCAUAGAUACUGAUCUCCAUCCCAUUCAUCCAGUUAGCUUCAUGGACAGCUCGUACAAAAACCUUCAUUGAACAGAGAGAUAAAAGAGCAUAAGCCUUAAUUCAACAGAAGAAGCUUAGAGAAGAAUAAGAAAGGGGCAAACAGAAGACUCACCAUCCUGUCACUGAAAACACUCCUCUCCAUCAAACGAAGAGGCUUGAUUCCAGCAGAUGACUCUCUUUCCUGCAUGACCCGUGUGACAAACACAUAGUUCUGAAAGGUGUAGGCAUACCGUUGCGGCUCGGCAUAAAAAGCAUCCAAAAUGUUAAAGUGAUCAGGUCCAACAUCCUGCCACUUGCUAAUGGGUUCAGGAACCACCUCAACAAGAUCACGCAACUCGAUCGUUUCAUUCGCUAUUCUCUGGAGGAAGGUAGUCUUGCCAACGCUAAUGUUACCCUCAACACAGAAUGUUAAGCGCUUCUUCUGAACAGAGGAAGAGGAAUUGUCUUCCAACUCCUCCUCGUCAACACUCUGUUUAAUGAAAGUAGUUAUACUCUCAGCAUGGUUCUUGUGGAUUAUUCCAACAGAAUUCUGUAGAUACUCAACCAUCUUGUCACUAGAUUUGCCAAAGAACUACAGCACAUGACCCAAACACAACAGUUUAAUAUAACAAUUCGUUCGCAGAAAUCUAGCAUUCCUGGUAAAUAAAUCUUUCACGUAAUACCAAAACCCCUAAACAGAGCAGAUGUAAUAAGAGAGAGAGAGAGAGAGAGAGAGAGAGGGACCUUAUCCUUGUAGAGUUGCUUGAGUUGCGCAACACCAGCGAUACCUUUCUGAACGAGCUUUCUGAAAUUUCUGGGACCCACACCGGGGAUGGCCAGCAAAUCAGGAUUUGACGGAGCAGGAGAAGAAGAAGUAGAACCCUUUUGCCUCCUAUUUAGCCUGGAGUUAAAGGGCUUCUCUUUUGAGUCCACAAGAGAACCAUACUCAACAGGGUCGGGUUGGGUGAUGAAAGAGCCUUCUGAAGCCGAAUGCAAGGAGCGGUUUCUAGAGUGGUUAAGGAGAAGAAGGGUCUUGUUAUUCUUGGGGUGGGAGUGGGUGUGGGUUAGACUGAGACACCUGCAGACAGAGCAAGUGUUGGUACUAGAGAGCGCCAAAUAGCGGGAAUAAGAGAGUUGGCGCUUGAGAGAAGAACCAGCAGCAGCUGCUGACAUUGGUUGGUUUGCAACUUUGGGAGGCAACGAAAGAAAGGGAGUAGCCACGGUGACAGAGAUAGAGAGGAAGGGAACUGAAGAAGGGCGUAGCAGUUUCUGCAUUUCACUCUCAGUUUGUGUCCCUCAUUAUGAGGGCGGGAAGGAAAGGUAAGGGUUUUAGGUUUAGCCUCUCAGUAAGAGAGUGGAUACACACACCCCAAUACAAAAGGAGAAUUCAGAGGGUUUCAAUCUCCUUUCUAUUCAGUCACUGACACAAAUAGAAUCGUAUUAACUUUUUUAAUUACGGUAAUAACUAAAUUAAAAACUCAUACUAAUCCUCUUGUACGUUGUCCAAAAAUAGGUUUUUAUUUACACAUUACAUACAAACUCUUAUUCGUGAGUAUAAUCUCGCAACCAUCCCAACUUUUAUAAGGAAUUUUUACUUUGAUUGGACACGGAUAUGAAUUAAACAGUGUAUUACUUAAUUGUUUUUAUUAGGCUUUGUCACUUAUUAUUUCAUGUCUAUUCUUUCAAAUUUUAUAGGUAUACAUAUAAUAUUAGGGAUUAUACUUUCUUUUAAGUUUCAAAUCUCGGAAUAAUUUUUAGAUUGUCGGGAUAUGAAUUUUAUAGGAAAAAUUUUACUAGAAUAAAAUUUUAUAUUUGGUUUCACAGUAUAAUUGUUUAAACUUGACUUGAAUGAAUAAAAUAUUUAAUUAUGUUCAAAUUUUUUAAAAAAUAAUUAACUUUUUUAUGUUUUUCUUGCAAAAAAAAUAUUUUUUAAAAUUAUAAGACAUAUAUUAUUAUAUCUGAUUCUCAACAAGGACACAGAUGGGGAAAAUUUUCAUAUCCGUGGAAGGCAUGGACAAGACCAAGAUGAUUUUAAGAAAGCAGGGACGAGAGUUGUCAAAGCUUUUAGAAAAUUGCAAUGGUGUUUCUUGUGGGGUGGUGAGGAAGAUGCAAAGAAGAUUCAUUGGGUGAAAUGGGACACAAUUUGCCGGCCAAAGGAACAUGAAAGACUUGCCAUAAGGGAUAUUUGUAACACUUUUCAUUUAAAAAAAAACCCAUAUUAAAAUAAUAUAAAAUCUUAAAAUUAUAAAAAUAUAUCUUAUUAUGAUAAAUAAAGUUAAAUAAAUAAGUUUUUAAUUGAGUUAAAAUAUUAUCCUCAAAAUAUGAAUAUUUAAACUAAAUGAACACUAAAACUACAACGAAAGUAAUUACAUUUGGCAUAUUAUUUUGAAGUACUAAUCAAACUAAAAUAAAUAUAAUUAAGAAAAUUAUGUCUUCAAUUCUCCUCAAACUCAACAAUUUUCUCUUCGUGCUUUGAAAAAAUCACUUAUAAUGAGACGAUAAUCCUAAUGAAUAAAAUAAUUAAUAGAAAUUCGCAAAUAGAAUUAUUCUGAAUCGAUAUGGUAAUUUGAAAAAUCAAUCAUAGUAUCUAUAAUGAAUUUAAUAUAAGAUUAUAUAUGUAUAUAUUUACACACCAAUGAAAAUGAUAUUAAACAAUCAUAAUUCAUGAAAUUUUGAAUAAAUAAAAAAAAUUAAAUAAAUGGAAACAAAAUAGAGAUAUUUGGGAAUCAAUGUAGAUCUCAAAUUUUUAAAAAGAUCUAUGAACUCGUAUUUCAUAUAAUAACAUCUCACUAUCUUCCAUCAUAAAUGGACGAGAUAUGAAGUAUAUCUAUUAUAUAAUCUCAUAAUAAAAUGUCAUCAUCCUUUCUCGGGUGUGAUGAUCAACUCAUAAAGUUACAAAAUACUAUUCUAAAAAAAACUAUCAACAAAUGUCCUAAUUUCAUGCAUUUAAUAAUAAUUCUCAAAAUCACCAUAAUAACAAUAGAAUUAACUAAUAAUAUAAAAUCACAUAGUAUUUACAAUGGCUAGAAUAUAAUACACAUGCGCACAAAUUAGUCAUAAUCCUAAAGGUUAAAUUACAUUCAUUAAUUCAAUGAUAAAAUUAUUUAGGUAAUGUCAAUAUAUAUAUAUAUAUAUAUAUAUAUAUAUAUAUAUAUAUAUAUAUAAAGAAAACGUAUUUGCAAGAAUUCAUAUCAUGAGGUUUAAAAAAAGUUAUUUUACUCACAUCUUAAAACAAUAAAUUUGUAUUUUUUGUUAUUUUUUUUCUUUUCUACUAAUUGCAUUGAGAAAAAAAUUCAUUUUUUUUUAAUCCUUGAGUAGUAACUCACUAAUAUUAAGAGAGACUAUUUAUGUGUGAUCGAAACACUAUUACCCUUAUAUAUAAAUUAUACAUAAUUUGAAACUUGUUUGGCUGAUCUUUUUAUCUAUUAUUUAUAUUAUAUUUCAUUAUAAUUAUCUUUAACUCAUUCAAUAUAUUAUUAUACUAACAUUUUUUUAAAAUAAAAAAAAAUAACAAUCUAAUACUUUAAAAUAAUUUAAUUAUUUUUUUUUUAUUAAAAGAUAUAUUUAAAUAUGUUUAUCAAAAUAAUUAUUGAAUUAUUUUUGAAAUGUUUUAAUAUCUCUCUUUAACGAUGCUCUUCUGUAUCCUUAACAUUUUUUAAGGUUAUGCAUAGUGGCUAGGUGAAAGAUGCCUUUUUUUGUUCACUGUUCAUUCUUUUUAAGCAUUUAGCACUGCCUGAAUCAAGUCUGAUUUCACAACAAGCCCGUUGACUUCCAUGUUGCUCUCAUUCUUAUCUUUGCAUCUCUACUUUGGCUAGGAUGCUUUCUAAAGGCUCGUUGUCGUCUUACUCUUGGACGAAUUCUCCUUCCUGAAAUAUUUUUCUAUGGAGGUUCACCCCCUAAACCUCGUUUGAUAAAAAGGGAGGACUGGUAUCCAACUCUUGCAGGUACUAUUAAAUGUGAUGUAUAUGGCCUGGCAAAAGAUGCUCCUGGUCAUGCUGGUACUGGGGCAUCUUUGGAGGCUCUCAUGGCACCUUCUAGGGUUGCUUCUCCUCCUUUGAAGGGAUCUGCCAUGCCCUCCAUGCUAAGUUGUUUGCCAUUAUCAUGGCCAUUGAGACUACCAUUUUAGUAUAAUUGGAAGGUUCUUUUUGGAUAAAAUCUAAUUCUUUAAUUUGAUUAUCAUUUAAGCCAUCAAAGACCAUUAUCUUGUUCCGUGGAGCAUUAGGUAGCGUUGGAAAAACUAUUUCUUUGGCUUGUAUAGAUCACACUAUAGUUUUGUUUUCCUCUCAUAUUUGUAGAGAAGGGAAUUUUGUGCAGAUUUACUAGCAAACCAUGUGAGGCUAACUCUACUUCUAGUUUUACUUGGUGGGACCGUGCUCCUAGUUUUGUUAAGCAUGAGUUCCUUCACAAUUGGAAAGCCCUCCCUAACUAUAGGUUUCUAUAGUUCUUUUGAUGGGUCUUGGCCUAGUGCCUCCAUUUUGCUUUGUUUUGCUUCUUUUAUUUAACAUUAUUCGUAGAGUGGUGGUGGUGAUGGUUGGCGGUGGGGUGCCAACAUAGGUCUUUGCUCGCCAUCUAGUUGGUCUCUAUUUUUUUUAUUUAAAAAAAGUCUGUUUUUAUUCAUUUAGGCUUUGCUUGUUUCCACUUCCCACAAUGUGAUAUAUAUAAUUCCCCACAAUAGCAGAGUUGGAUUGUGUCAUGUGUGGCAGCCGAAUAGAAAUGGGAAGAAUUUGGAGGUCUAUUUAUUAAGGACUCCUGACGCAGAACUUAUGCCUAUACACCAAUGUGGUCAGGUUAAUGUUUGGCACCAAUAUGCUCCUUUGAUCAAUUGCAAAAACAGGAGCUAAUGAUGGAAGUCAAUUGCCUAUUUACAUUACAACUCCCCUCCUACAAAUGUAUAUCAGCUUGCUGAUGCACCAAGUACUAUGUUUCUCAAGUCAAGAUGUAAUAUUUUUAUAUCUCUUCUAUUUACUAUAUUAUAAAAGUAUGUUCUCUUUAGUCACAUGUCAACAUUUUGUGUCACACAUCAAUAUUUUAGAAACCUAAUUUUUUUAACUUUUUCUUUUAUCUUUCUAUUUCUUGUAAGUAUUGUUUCUUUUAAUCUUUUUUCUUUUUUUUUAUAUUUCUUUCUUUCUUUUUUCUUCUUACAUUUUUUAUUUUCUUCUUAUUCUUUUUUAUGUUUUCUUCAAUUUUUUACCUUUUAUCUUUUCUUUUGCUUUUUUUAAUUUCUUCUUUCUCUUUUAGCAUUUUUUUCUUUUUUAUUUACAUUUUUAUAAUUUUCUAUCUAUCCUAUUUACUAUAUUAUAAAAGUAUGUCCUCUUUAGCCACAUGUCAAUAUUCCAUGUGCCUCGUGUAAACAUUUUAGAAGUUUUAGGAGUUGUUUGGUUUGACUGUUUUCUAUUUUCAUUUUCACUGGAAAUAAAAAAUGGUGAUAAAAAUGCGUUUGGUUGGAUUUUUGAAAACAUAUUUAGUGAAAAUAUUUUCUCAAACGAACUAAAAACGAAAAACAAUAAAAUCUCGUUCUAGUGUUUUCAGUUUAAAUCAAGAAUCUCAUUUUGGGUAAAAUGAAAACGCAAUAACAAGGAAUGUAAUUUUAAGCGAAUCUAAAAAUACAUUUCUUUUUGAAAACACAUGUUCAAUGUUUUUAUUUGUUGAAAGCAAAAAACAAGAAAUCAAAAUAAAUAUGUUUUCAGAAUUCUAAUAUUUUAAAAAUAAAAACAGUUUUCAAAAAAUAAAAACAAAAAUAAAAAUGUAAACCAAAUACACCCUUACUUUUUUAAUAGUAUAAACCUCUUACCUUUUUACAACAUUGUUGCAACUUGCCAAUAGCAAUUGCUUGUUGGGAGCAAACCACAAGUAGUCAUGAUUUGCUAACACGGGUAUAAAAAAGGUGAGUAAUAUUAAAAAACUGUAAGCAAAAAAAAAUCUAUGAUUCACAUUCUAUCCAUACCUAAAUUUGAACGAUAUGAUGCGGCUGCCCAAUCUUACUGGGACCACCACCAUCUAAUGCAAGCAUUUUAAUACCUAAAUCAAAUCAAGGAUUCUUAUUAAAUUAAAUAUGGCUAUCAAAGUUUCAAGUCUCCUUUAGAGAUUAAAGGUUAUUAUUAAUUUAAAAAUUUUGAUCUAACAAUUCAUACAAAUUCAAACUUCAUUUACAUAGAUAGAUAUAUUAGAUAGAUUCAAAUGAGUUAAUUAUUUUUCACAAUUAAUAAUAAUAGUUUUAUAUCACUAGUUAACAAGUGUAAUUGAUUCGUGUCAUACACAAGUAAAUAUUAUUCAUGAAUAUUUUAAAUAUAUAAAUAUUUUUUAAAUUUAUAGUAGGAAUUAUUUUUAAUUAUUGAUUGUAAAGUAUAAUAUUUUUAAUUAUUAAUUAUUGUUGUCAAUUAUAGAUAUAUAAUUUAUUAAAGUAUAUGGUAAAAUAUAGUUUUUAAAAUACAAUAAAUGGGAGAAAUAAAAAACAUUUUAGUUAUAAGGUAAGGUAGCAAUAUUUAAAUAAUUGUUGAAAAAUAAUAUUUCAAUCAAUCUAAGAUAAGAGUUCUUAGUUACAAUAUAAAUAAAACAAAUCAUGAAAUAAUAAUUUUAAAUCAAAAUUUAAAUUGAAGCAACACAUGACAUAUAUACUGAUUUUUGAAUAAUACUAGAAAAUAUUUUAAAUUUUGAACAUAUAUUGUAAAAAAUGAAUUAGGAAUUGUGAACUAAAAAUAAACUAUGUGAAUUAUUAUAAAUGAUUGUGUACCAAUUAUUUUAAUUUUUUUUAUCAUCAUAAUUAAGGUCUGGCUCUUUAGUGAGAUUUCAAGAUAUUUUCAUAAGUUAAGCUUUGAUCCUUUGUAUUGGUUAUGAGACUAAUCAUUAGUCUAAGAUUUAAUCACAUUUAAAUUUUAUCAUUUCUUUUUAAUAGUGUAUUCUACAAGGAUCAAAUCCAGGUUCUCCCCCAACAAAUUGAGUAUGUAUUGUCCACCUAUUGGAUAUUAUGUAUCAAUCAUGUAGCUUAAAGUAUAAUGACUUCAAAUUAUUAACUACUGUUGUGCAAUAUGCAUAGUUAGAUGAAGAUCUAAUUAAUUAUUAUAUAUAAAAGGAGAAAAUAUGCUUUUACUUUUAUAUUUUGGGUUAAACUUGAUUUCAGUUUAUAUAUUUAAGUAAAUGAAUUUAGUCUUUUAAAUCUUGUAAAUAUGUGAAUUUAAUCACACUUCAUGUUUAAACUUAACAUUUAGUGGCAUUUUCUUACCGCUACAAAGUUGAAUUAGGGACUUUAUUCACAUAUUUUUUAAAGUUAGAAGACUAUAUUCAUUAAUUUGAAAGUAUAAGAACUAAAAUCAUGUUUCACAGCAAAAUAUUGGAACAAAUUCACUUAGUGGAAUGGAAGCGAAAGAAGCCACUUUAGAGGCAACUUUCUUUGCCAGAAGAAGAUAUUAUAAUUUAUUGUGAUUCAUAAUAACUACAAAAUUUAAAUUAAUUUGAUAGUCAAUUUUAGCUAAGAAUUAUUGUAAUUUCUUUACUUUACUGUUGUUUUUAAUAAAACAAUAAAUAAAUUAAUGUCUUUGCAGUUUUAUAUCAGCAGAAUUUAAAAGAAAUUUUUUUUAAGUGCUUUGAGAAAAAUUGAUGCAAAAAUUGGAAGAAGUAGUCUUGAAGAAAACAUUGGAAGAAAUGGACAAUCUGCGCUUAGCGCAAAGAAGCCCAAAGGUGCGCCGAGCUAAACAUGAGGUCGCGUGAAAAUUAAGUUACAUUAUGUCUAUAAAAGGAGUAGGAAGCAUAAGGGAAGGAUACAACAUGGGGACAACAUCCUAAGUAGCAUCUCUAAUAGGGAAAAUCCUCUCUCUAUGUCCAUUAUCUCAUUUUGCUCCUCUAUUCAUUCCUCUUCUUCUAUCCACAUUAGCCCCUAAAGUGUAAAGCUUAUGACAAUAAGAGGCUAAGGGAGCCUAGCAGCCACCAAAUGCCCUUGUAAUGUAAUCUUUCCUUGUUAUCUAUUUAAUGUCAUACCAAUUUUUAUUGUUUCUUUUCUGUGCUUUCUUAUUAUCUAUUUAAUGCAAUGCCAAUUUUUAUUGUUUUUUUCCCGUGUUGUAUUGUUAUUGUAUAGCCUUAUCAUCCAUGCAUUAAUUUUAGGGGUUAUACAUUGAAAAAUGAUAAUUUCUAAAGAAUUGGAAAGGACAUCUCAACACUUCAUUGCUAGGGAUAGUAUGACUUUGUUAUGCCUCUGUAUACAUCUUCAUACUUAAUACAAUUUAUCAUUCAAUCUUUGUAAAGGAAUUUGGGAGAAAAAUAGAUAAAGUAGACUCUUCAUCGGAUCAGGGUUGAGUGUCUUAAUAGAUGUGAGUGGAAAUUGGAAUAACAUUAUAUAAUAAAAAUAAUUAAUAUUGCAUUACAAGUAGUUUUAGCAUGUUAGGUCUCAACAUAUUUGAGUUCUAAAUUUUUUUUUAUCAUCAUCUUUAUCUCUUAUUUCUCUUAUCUUUUACAUUAAAAUUCUUUAUCUAUUUUAUCUUCUAUUUUUUUAAUUUAAAUCUUUUAUCUUUCCUAUCUUCCAUUUUUAUCUCUUAUCUUCUAUUUUAAAUCUUUAUCUUAUCUCCUAUCUUCCUUUAUCUUUUAUUUUAAAUUUUUUAUCUUUUGCUUGUAAAUUGAGUUUGCAUCAAUCAAGUACAAAUAAAGUUCCUGUGGAUUCAACAGUCAAACUUUCGAGUCUACUACUUGAGACAAAUUGAUAUACUUGUCAAUGAGUUAACAAUUCACUUAGUAGUUGUUACUCACUAAGCGUGACAUGCUUUUAUGCAAAACCAAAAAACAAAACGAAGAUUCUCUACUUGUAUAAAGCAUCUUUUCACUAGGAUCAACAGUAGAUCAUUCUAGGAUUGUGUUUUGUGGCUCGAGCUCUCACUUGCUACAUUCCCUUAUUUCUUUCCCAUUCUUCUUCCUUUUCCCAUUGUUCUUUGUGUUUUUUGGUGGCUCCUCGUCUCAAUGUGAGUUAAGAAUUUUGUGUACUAGUAACUCUCAUGUAACUAUUCUUACAUGUAUUUAAUGAAUAUCCAUUGUUAAUGUUAUUUCUUUGUGUUUAAUAUUUGUUCUUGGCUUUAUUUAUGUUUUUUUAUUGUCAUUAGAAAAUGCUUUAAAAAUUAAGAUUUGUAAAUGAUAUCUAAUAAAUGUCACAUUUGAGAAUAGAGUGAUGUUUGUUGAUCUCUUCAUGAUCCUUGCUCUUAAAUAAAUCGGUUAACUUCAAUUGCUAAGGAAAUAUAAAUAAUGUUAAGUGAUUUAUCCUUUUCCACUUGAGGAAUCAAUGUCAAAGGACUUAAGUGGCUUGAAAAAGCACUACGAAUUUCAUUAUAUAGAAAAAAAAAUUUGUUACUAAGAUGUUUGCUAAGUACUACUACCAAAGACUUAUUUGAAAUUUGUCCUAUUUUUAUUGCUAAGAUAGCACUAGUUUGUUUUAUUGUUUAGCUUAGAACUUAUAAUUUAAUUUUUAAACCCAUUUUCACCAAAACAAAAUAUAUAUUCUUUUGCCUAGAUGUUGAAUGUACACAAAAGCCUAGUGCAAAAAAGUUUCUGUAGAGACAAUCUUUGUGCUUAUAUAUAUAUAUAUAUAUAUAUAUAUGAAAAUAUUGGAUCAAUCAGUUAACCAACGAAGAUCGUAAUAUUUUGGUUUGUGAUUUUGGUAGCAAAUUGAGUAAUUGCAUGCUUACAAGGCAUACCUGCACAUGUUAAGCACACAUAUAUUUAAAAUAAUAAUACAUAUAACACAUAUACAACAAAGUAAUAUUCAUAAAUGUCAACAAUGAAUCAAAGGUACUUGUUAAUUGUCACAUCCAACAAGACGUGUCAACAUAGUAAGAUUAACAUUCACAUUUAUUUGACACUUUUAAACUUUAGACCUAUUGUCAUCACCAUCACCUGAACAAACUGUUGUCCACUUAUAGCUUUUAGUUCUUUCAUUCGCCAACCUUGAUAGUUGCAUGGGAGUCAAUGGUCCUACCGAACAAUCAAUUUGAGCUUACAUGUACUCAUUGCACGCAUAACAUUGAAUAUAAUGUCCUCAGCUAAACUUAGAAUUGGCUUGCCCCUAUUCUUCAGGAUCCUUGCAUUGAAUGUUUCACCGUUGUUGUUGCAGAUGCUGUCCCCUUUAGAACUCUUGCUAAAAAUGCUUUGUUCUAUGAUUCAUAAGGCAAAUUUUUCAAAUAAUCGCACACUUUUUUCCCCCUCUAAAGUGCUUCCUUGUGUAAAUUAAAUUCAAAAACUGUUGCUGAUCUUACACAUUGCCUAAAGAAGUCUCUUUGCUCUUAAUCUUUCCCAUGCUUUGUGAAGUUUCCCCAUAUAUGAAUUACACAAUAUUCUCUGCACUAUAGGCAUAACCUCCCUCAUGGCAUGAAUAAGACCAUGUACAUACGAAAAAUAAAUAUCAAUUUGAUCCUUAAGUUAACGAUUAUUUGUUAAUUUGGUCCUCAAUUUACAGUGUACUUUAAAAGAUUAUAAUUACCUUAUGCAUGUUUGACAUGAAGCACCAACCUUGUUGCCUGUAAUCUCCCAAGUCUUAUGAAGCAAUGUAAGAAACUUUCCAAUUUUCUAUGUCUGCAACAUCAAGAAUUGCAUAUGCAAUUACAAAAAUGUCAUUAUUUGCACCUUGGCCAACUACUGUGAGCACUUGGCCACCAUAGUAUUCCUUCAAAAAAUGUUCAUCUAGACCAAUAAAUGGUUGACAUCCACCUUUGAAUCCCUUUUUACAUGCAUCAAGACAAAAAUAUACUCUACGAAAUUGUGGUUUGGCCUACGAAAUUGGGAUACAAUCAAUAAUUCUUGACCCUUGAUUGGCUCUUAUAAACUCAUUACCAUAAUCCCAAAAUGCAAGUAUUCAUAUAUUUCCUGACGAAGAUAUACUUUUGUAACUGCAUAAUAUUUUAUUUUUCAGUUUUAAAAUAGGAUUUAGUAAAUAAGUUGAUUUCCUAUAUUUUAGGAGUAAGGCAGGUUUAAUGGAUUAGUCUAGUCAAUAAGUGGUUCCUAUCUUUAAGGAACAAGUUAGUUUUAAUAUUCUGUUUUGCUAAUAUCUUGUUAUCUAAUUAGUUUAUCUUUUGCUAUUUAUUGUAUCGCUGCCGAGAACAAUUUGAAUUAGAAUAGAAUAAUUCUAUUUUCUCCGCAUACGCAUUGUCUCUCUUCUCUCCUCUGUUCUUUCAUAAUUUCCUCCACAAAACCAACAAUUGGUAUCGAGAGCCUUAUUCUUACGGGACUUGUACCAUGGAAGGUGAAACAAGUUUUUCCCACAUAACUCUUCCAAUCUUUGAUGGAGAGAAUUAUGAUCUUUGGGAAGUGAAAAUGCAAUCUUACAUGGAGUCUUUGGAUUUGUGGGAUGUUGUGGAAGAGGAUUAUGAAAUAUAUCCGCUGCCUGAAAAUCCCACCAUGGCCCAAAUUAAAAAUCACAAGGAAAGAAAGAUGAAGAAGGCAAAGGCGAGGUCAUGUUUGCUCACUGGUGUUUCACAAAUGAUAUUCAUCAGAAUCAUGACUCUUAAAUCACCCAAAGCAAUUUGGGAUUAUCUGAAAGAGGAAUACGCUGGAGAUGAUAGAAUACGAAGCAUGCAAGUGCUAAAUUUAAGGAGGGAAUUUGAGCUUCAAAGGAUGAAAGAGUCAGAGACAAUCAAAGAAUACUCAAACAAAUUGUUAGGUAUUGCCAACAAGAUAAAGUUGUUGGGAAGUGAUUUUGUUGAUUCGAGAAUUGUAGAGAAAAUUUUGGUAACGGUGUCGGAGAGGUAUGAAGCAUCUAUAGCUUCAUUGGAGAACACAAAGGAUCUGUCGAAAAUCACAUUGGCAGAAGUGCUACACGCCCUGCUAGCUCAAGAGCAACGAAGGUUGAUGAGGCAAGAUCGUGUUGUCGAAGGUGCUUUGCCCGCCAAACAUCAUGAAGUUGAUGAAAAUAAAAAGGAUUUUUUCAAGAAGAAUCAACCAGCAAGCAGCGAAAAUAAUGCAAACAACCAAAACAAAGGUAAGGAGAAAAAUUAUCCACCUUGUCAGGAUUACGGAAAAUUGGGUCACCCACCAUACAAAUGUUGAAAACGGCCAGACGCAAAGUGCAGCAAGUGCAAUCAGCUUGGACACGAAGCUAUAAUUUGUAAAAGCAAAUUUCAGCAACAAGAAGCCGAUGCCCAAGUUGUUGAGCAGGAGGAAGAAGAUUAUAUUUUUGCUGCAACAUGUUAUUCGAUGAGGAGUAGUUCUAAAUGUUGGUUGAUUGAUAGUGGUUGUACGAACCACAUGACAUAUGAUAAGACUCUAUUCAAGGAUUUGAAGCCAACUAAUGUCUCAAAGAUCAUAAUUGAGAAUGGUGGCUAUAUUCCAGUAAAAGGAAAAGGAACUGUUGCAAUUUCAACAUGUUCAGGUAUCAAAUUAAUAUCAGAUGUUCUUUAUGUACCUAACAUUGACCAAAACUUGCUAAGUGUAGGUCAGUUGAUUAAAAAGGGAUUUAAAGUGUCCUUUGAACAUCAACAUUGCUUUGUCUAUGACAUUGCUGACCGGGAAGUUCUAAGGAUUAAAAUGAAUGGUAAAAACUUUUCAUUUGAUCCAGCAGAGGAGGAGCAUACAACCUAUUUCACUCAAGUCACACCCACGAAACUCUGGCACAAGAGACUUGAUCAUUGUCAUCUUGAAAGAAUACUAAACAUGAAAAAAAAGGAAAUAUGCAAAAGAAAAUUUGAAGAAGUUUCAAAUGGAGGAAUGCAAGUCUGUUAGCACACCAAUGAAUCAAAAGGAGAAGUUUAGCAAAGAAGAAGGUGUUGAUAACAUUGAUGAAGGAUAUUAUGGGAGUUUGAUUGGAUGUCCAAUGUAUCUCACUACAACAAGGCCAAACAUUCUAUUUUCUCAAAAGAACAAAACUGAAAUUUUUGUUGACAAUCAAGUAGUCAUUGUUGUUGCAAACAAUCCCAUGUGUCAUGGGAAGACUAAACAUUUCAACAUCAAGGUUUAUUAUUUGAUAAAGAUGCAACAAAGUGGAGAAGUGAACUUAAUUUACUGCAAGUCUAAAGAUCAACUGACUGACAUGUUUACAAAGUCACUACCUAUCAACAAACUUAAACUCAAAGAAUUGGAGUUUGCAGUUCCAAAAGCAAGGAGGAGUGUUGAAGAUAUACUUUUGUAACUGCAUAAUAUUUUAUUUUUCAGUUUUAAAAUAGGAUUUAGUAAAUAAGUUGAUUUCCUAUAUUUUAGGAGUAAGGCAGGUUUAAUGGAUUAACCUAGUCAAUAAGUGGUUCCUAUCUUUAAAGAGCAAGUUAGUUUUAAUAUUCUGUUUUGCUAAUAUCUUAUUAUCUAAUUAGUUUAUCUUUUGUUAUUUAUUGUAUCGCUGCCGAGAACAAUUUGAAUUAGAAUAAAAUAAUUUUAUUUCCUUCGCAUACGCAUUGUCUCUCUUCUCUCCUCUGUUCUUUUAUAAUUUCCUCCACAAAACCAUCCGUUCCUUUAAAUUACCCUCAACCAUCUUUCGAGCAUCUUUUAAAGCCUUAAAAAUCGUAGUACCAUUUGUGUGCAGGCCUAAAUCAGAUUUCAAGUAUUAAAAUGCCUCCAUAUAAUUUUAAGUAGGAUGCAUUCUAAUUUUGUUUGCCAACUUGCAAGCAUCCCAUUUCCUAGAAGCUUCACCAUUCUUGAAGUUCCUACCACAAAUAUGUUCUUUCGCAAAGGUUUUAAUUUGGAAGCUUCAAUGAUCUUCAUUUCAUGAACAAUAUAUCUCCCACGAAUAGUUCGUUUACUCACAUAUUGCUCUUGCUUUUUUUCUUGUCAUUCUUUAGCCAUUUUAAUUUGCCUUCGAUAGUAUAUAGUGCAGUCCCUAACUGCAUAUAUCAUUGAAAAUUUGUAAGUUGGCAAACACCCUUCUCUAUCUCUAAUUAUAAUUCAUUAGUAAAACUUUGUACCUUCAUUAUACUGAUGAUAAACAACAGCUUUACUACUACAUCCUUCAUCACUAGUGCUAUUAGGAGUCUGAAGAUAUUUUGAAUGGUAACUAUAGUCACUUGACUGUUCAUCGUCAUCUGCUAGAGAUGUAUGAAGAAUGACCUCGUUACCUUCAGAAUUAUCAUAAAACUCAUGGUAUGAUUCUUCGUCAUCAAAUCCAUCAUUAGACAUCCUGCAAAAUAACUUUAAUUAAAGUUGACAUCAUACAACUUGGCAUAAGAGAUUAACCCCUUAUGAAAUAAAUUUUAGUAAAACGUGCAAUGAAUCGACGUCAUCACUGUAAACAAAAAUAAAGACAAUGAAACAUACAAAUGCAUUUCAAAAACAAACACAACCCAUCAGAACUCAUGACCAAAUCAUAAACAAAAAAUUGAAAAUAAAUAUAAUUUCUUAUACAGAAAAUCAAUAACAAAAAUACACAAACAAAAAAUAUUUAAAACAGAGACGACACACAAAAAAUAAGGACACCUUCAUAUAUGAAAAACAAAAAAGAAGACACCAUGUUUCUCCAAGUACUAAUGUCCGACUUUCUGUGAGUAGAAGAGAAGACACCAUGUUUCUCCAAUUUAGUCAUUGGUGAAUGGGAAGUGAAACCAGUAGAGGAAAUGAGACCAAAAAAUAAAAGUAAGGGUUCUCAUGAUUCUUUUUGGUUCUCUAAAAAGGUUGGGUAAACAUAUACUAUCACUUUAGUCUAUCUAACUCACCCCCAACGUUGCAUGCAUCAUAGGUGUACAAGAUAACGUGUCAUGAAAUAACGUGCCACCGAGGCACACACGUUAUGUUUAAAGAAUUUCAAUUGAUGGAUGAAUAAAAUAAACAUUUUACACUUUUUGAGAUGUUUUUAAAAAUUUUAUAUUUUUAAAGAACUAAAUGAUACUGAGUCACAUUUUCACGUGUAAAAAUAACUAUUUAUCCUAAAAUUAAUGUUACACUCUUACUAUCUAUUGUGCCAAUUUGUAUUACAUUUGAUUGCUGUGCUGUGACGAAGGAAAACAAAUUUUGAUGGAACGCGCGUAGAUUAUUCUUUAUCAUUUCUAUUUCAACCAAUCUGACAAAUUAUUUUAUUUUCAGUUUCUUUCACUCUUUCUCAAUUCAAUCCUUUCUAAAUCCUCUAAGUAACAGUUUAACGUCACGAAGGUACUUGUUCCCCCAAGAAGUUUCCUUCAACUUUUACAAGCGCACCGAAGAAGACGUAAAAUUUGACCUUUUAAAAGCAAUUUUUAAUUUAAAUAUAAUAUAUAAUAUAACAGGACAAAAAAAGAAAAAGAAAAAAAAUGACAUCUGUUGUACUUUGACUUAAUUAUUAAUUUGUUUUUGAAAUUAUUUUAAAUGAUUCAAUUUUCAAAUCUUUAAAAAGUUUAAUUUAAUUUUGAAGUUUUUAAAAAUGAAUUAUUCCAUCUCUAAAUUUUUAAAAUGUUUAAUUUUGUUUUUAAGUUGUUAAAAAUUUGAAAAUUGAAUUAAUUCAUUUUUAAUAACUUAAGAAUUAAAUUAAAUUAAAUAUUUUAAAAAUUUAAUACCACAAUAAUUUAUUUUUAAAAAAUAAAAAAUAAAAUUGAAUAUUUUUAAAAUUUGAAAACCAAAUCGAUAAUUAAACCGUUUCAUUUGACAGCGUGUUGAAAACUGUCUACAGAUUAUAAGCUUAUUUUCAGCUCACUCUGUCUCCACUACGUUCGUCUCGUGUUGACUAAUGGUUACACUGCACGCCCUCUUGUAAAUCUACGCUACACCACUUAAUUGUUCCCGUAAAAGUAAAAAAGACUAUAAUAAAUAGAAGUAAUUAAAAAAGCCCUAUUAUCGUUAGUUAGGUUGAAAUUGAAAGCAAUAUAUAUAUAUAUAUAGAGAGAGAGAGAGAGAGCAGUGACUUAUGAAAUAUGAAUUAUGAAAGUCUGGUGUCGUUGAAAUCGAACGCAUUUAAUAAGCUCUAAAAUCAGUUGAGUUGUCGUUUCAUUGCUUUAUUUUUUUGGCAUUCAUUCAUACCCAACAACUUAACAACUCCUCCAACCCUCCUAGACCACGAAAAAACAAAAAAAGACAAGCGAUAAAUAUAGGGAAAGAAAGAAAAACCGAGGCUUUGCUCAAUUUCAGUGAAGAAAGUGAAAGAUGGGUAAUCGUUUCAUCUGCAUGACGAAGAAGGAGUCGAAAGAUGUUGGAUCGAGAAGCAAGAGAAUGGGUAGAUCACAGAGGAAGCUGGUGAGUGAGGAAGAGCUGCAUCUUCAGGCACUUUCUAUGGCACUUCAACAGCAUCAACUGUCUCAGAGGUUUGAAGGCUCCAUGUCUAGGAGAAUUGGCUCCUCCAGAAGGCACGCUGUCUCUGAAUCUUUUUCAGCCAACAAGCAGGUCUCUCUGUGUGUGUCUGUGCCUCUUUUGUUUAUUAUAUUAUAAUAUAUUUGCCAUGAUUUGUGGGUUUGGAUUGAAAAAAGUUUUUAUUUUUUGAAUCAUUUCAUCUGUGCCAAAAAGUGGGCUAUCAUGAUUAAGAUCUUUAUCUAUAUGGGUAGGGCCGUAGGGUGGAAGUGAAAAGUAGUGUUUUUGAAUUGAGUCAGUCAACAUAACAAGCCAUGGCUGAAAAGUGCACAUACAAAAGGAAAUCAAGGACUGCUUUUUUAUUUUUAUUUUUGUGGGGAAAAAAAGGGGGUUGUUCUUUUUUAUGCCUCAAAAGGUGCAUCUAGAAAAGUACAGGGGGCCAAUUCACUGUGCUUUGAAAAGCAGAUGUGAUUUGUUUGUGAUUAGUCGCAUGUAUCUUGUACUAGUUAUAACAUACCCCACUUCCUUGAGUCCACUAUAUGCUUAUUAUGCAUUUUGACCUCAGUUAUUCUUAAGCGUCAUGGGAAGAUUCUUUUCUUCCACCUUGUUAGGAGAGUCUACAACAUUUGUCUAAAGGGAAAAUUUGGCCUGCUUCAUGUUUGGAGCCAGAUUGUUUUGAGACUUUUGUUGAAAUCACGAUCUGAGCUGCUGCUGCUGCUGGUCUUAAUUAUGUUAGUACUUAUACAUUUGAAUUUUGCUAGUGAUUUAUUGUAAAUGAACUCCUCAUUUUAAGGGAUCUUUGGAAUGUUGUUUGAAUUUAUGCAUAUAAUUAAAAUUAAUAUAUACUUGUUGUAUGCAAAUGUUAGCUAGGACAUAAAAUGGAAAGGAAAUGUGUUAUCAGUUCUUAUGCCCCCUGUGUUUUUGUUUGAAAUGUUUUCCUGACUUGCCAGUAUGUCCUGUGCAGGUUCCAGUAAAUCUGGAGAACAUUAAAAUAAAGAAGUUUGUACUAAUCCAUGGAGAAGGUUUUGGAGCAUGGUGUUGGUACAAGACUGUUGCCCUUCUAGAAGAAGCAGGGCUGCUUCCUGUUGCCUUAGAUCUUACAGGCUCUGGAAUUGAUCUCACAGACACCAACAACGUCACUACAUUGGCAGAUUAUUCAAAACCUUUAACUGUUUAUCUGCAAAACCUUCCUGAGGAUGAACAGGUUUGGAUGUGUGAUAUUGAAUUGAAGCAUGUUAUUGUCCACCAUACUGCUAUAUUUCAUGAAGAUGGAAAUUUUGCAGGUUAUUCUUGUUGGUCAUAGCAUUGGUGGUGCAUGUAUUUCUUACGCAUUGGAACAUUAUCCACAGAAGAUCUCAAAAGCAACUUUCCUUUGUGCUACGAUGGUGUCUGAUGGCCAAAAACCUUUUGAUGUUUUUGCUGAAGAGGUAUCUAGUUAGUUUCUUAAUUUACUUAUGUGAUCAGUUGGAUUUUUGGGAGUUCAUAUGUGGUGAAUAUAAUCAAAACUUAAAUUAAUAACAAAAGUUUUCCAAGUUUGCAACCAUUUCUUAGCAAUUAUGUUAUGGGUCUUGCUAACUAGUGCCUUAGGGCAUAGGAGCUAAAAUAAGAAAGUAUUUAUUUGUAAAUCAUAGGAGAGCUUAAAAAAGAUCAUGGACAACACAAUUUUCCGUUUUUCAAUAAAAACAUUUGUACUUUAAGUUCCUUAACCAAUGCCUUUAGGGCACUAGUUAGCAUUUACCUUUAUAUUAUUAUGUGGAACAUAUAUUGCUCUUCAUCCUUUCAUGAGGGUUGUGCAACCUCAAAUAUUCUAUUUCUAGAGAAAAAAAUGUAAUUCUAUGGUGUUCUGUCCUGCUUUAAUUUUUGGAUAUAUUGCUUUUAGUGUAAUAUUUUAAUCUGUUAUUGGCUUAUUGCAAAUUUACUAUCACUUGACUGUUUUCAUUUUAAUAACUCUGAUUCUACGGCAUAAUUUGAAGUCUUGGCCAACUUUCCAGUGAAUCUUUUAUUGCUAUAUUGUGCCACUCAGCCUACUUCAUUUCAUGACUUUUCUGCCUUCUUACAUAAUUGUUUUUUUGGCAAAAUAAUACUUUUUUUUCUUAGCUAGAAUAGCAAAAACUUGGAAAGCUAAAUACAUAAGCUAUUGAACUAGCAAAAAAUGUAGCAGACUGUUCUGACAAAGCUAAAAGCACAUUCAAAUGUGUUCAUAAUUGGAGUUAUACUCAUAUUUUCUUACUGCAUAGACACUAAAAGUAAUAGCAGCCAAAGUAAAAGAUCUUUAUGUUGUAUUUUCAUUGCUGAAUGAACAUGUUUUAUUUAAUUUAUUAUUACUAUUAUUUUAAUUUUAUCUUGUUUUGCAUUUCCCUUGGAAGUUCUCACAAAUUAUCUACCUGCAGCUAGGGCCAGCUGAACGUUUUAUGCAAGAAUCUAAGUUUUUGAUCCAUGGGAAUGGUAAAGAAAAGCCCCCAACAGGAUUUAUGUUUGAGAAAGAGCAGAUGAAAGGGUUAUAUUUUAACCAAUCCCCGGCAAAGGUAUGCAGAGGAUUUAAGUCUAUUUCUAACUUUUUUUCCUCCUAAAUUUUAUAGCUGCUAUAUAUUGACUGCCCAUUCAAAUUAGCUACUUGAAGCUGUACACGACUUGUGCCCAUCUACCCUCAAUGAUAAUCAUAUCUUUUAUCUCCUUCAUUGUUACUCCACUUGCAAUCUCCUUGUUUAUAUAGAAGAUUUAUAAUGAGUACAAUUGAGUAACUGGCUGACUCUAGCCCCCUUGCUG
RNAcentral lists this long non-coding RNA (69057 nucleotides) under Glycine max (soybean). RNAcentral describes it as "long non-coding RNA (GMAX_LNC000919)". Lineage: Eukaryota; Viridiplantae; Streptophyta; Magnoliopsida; Fabales; Fabaceae. The record is from RNAcentral.